This 87940-nucleotide long non-coding RNA is filed under the name Physcomitrium patens. Its description in RNAcentral is "long non-coding RNA (PPAT_LNC014323)". Lineage: Eukaryota; Viridiplantae; Streptophyta; Bryopsida; Funariales; Funariaceae. The record is from RNAcentral.
AGGGAGGUCAUGGAGAUGGAUUUGUUGCAAUGUAAACUCAAUACUAGUCAGUCAUGAUGCGAGAAUCAGAAACCAGCAUUGAUCUCGAAACUGGUUUUUCCCUCUAUGACUCGAAAGUGGUUGAAUGCGCGGGAUUACGAUUCGCAACGUCGCUUGAGUGCAGUAGUUUAGCUGAAUAUGCCUCGAGCGUCCGAACAAGUAGUUGCAUUUUCUUUGUUUGAACAGAGCCUUCUGUCAACUUAAAAUAUCAAUUGUGAUCACUAAGUCAAGUAAUUAUGAUGGAUCAUGUUCUUGUGGUCAUCAACAUUGAUCUAUGCUUGGAGAUAUAGCCAGUAGACUCGGAAGCACGUGUAUCUGUCGCGUCUAACAUGUUUUUUUUCUUCCCCUACUCACGUAUUUUGCAGCUCAACCUGGAGGUGGAGGCAUGGAGGAUACUGUUAGUUGCGGUCAAAAGCGACCUUACUAUUCUACUAUCGAAGCGUCAGGUGAAGAUCCUGGUGAAGAAGAUGUUGGGGAUGAUUGCAUUCAACAAUCUAAGAAGAGAAGACUUACCUUCGAUCAAGUCAGGUCACUCGAGAAAAACUUCGAGAUUGAGAAUAAACUCGAGCCAGAAAGAAAAAUGCAGCUUGCUAAUGAGCUUGGACUUCAGCCCAGGCAAGUGGCAGUGUGGUUUCAAAAUCGUCGCGCACGCUGGAAAACAAAGCAGUUAGAGAGGGAUUACGAGGUCCUUACCUUGGAUUACAACCGGCUCAAAAGCGAAUUUGAAGCUGUGCUGCAGGAAAAGCAAGAGCUACAGGACGAGGUGAGGGUUCCAUUGGAAUAAGUUUCCUCAGCUUACUAUUGAAAAAAAUUAGGGGACUAUUUCAUAAUCGCUAUAGUCUUAGAUUCGUUGAAUCUACUUACUACCUCCCCCCCCCCCCCCCCCUCUGUAAUCGUGCCAUCGAUCAUGGCCUUCAGCGCGUUCUGGAAAUAUACGAAGGUAUGCCUAUUUUAAGGUGAUUUGAGUGCGGGGUUUUAUCAUUUUAAGCACGUUGAUUUCCAUUGAAAAGAUAGCAGCUAACUGUUUGUUUGUUUGUUGCUUUCCAACCAGAUGGAGUGUUUGACGGAAAAGAUACAAACCGCAAUACCGAAUUCUGCGGAUCCAAUAUUGGAGAAAAGAAAAAGAAUCAUAUCAAUGUCUCAGCCUUCUUCGCUGAAGACAUUCGAAGGUCCUGUGAAAUCGGAAAGGAUAGCCGCCGAAGUUAAUGGCAGGAACGAUGCCCUGACACCGUGCAAGGAGGAGGGUUCCAAGGAGGAGGGUUCCAAGGAGACAAGCUCCGAUAGCAUUUCCAGUGAAAUACUUAACGCGGACAGCCCUCGUACUAUGGAUAGCGGCUCGCUUCUCCCAUUGCCCGAUAGUAUGAGCACAUUUUCACACGUUUGUACAGAGAUGGUAGACUCCAACAUCAUACACAUGAGCGACCAACUCUGCGACCAAAUGCUUUCUCCUCAAGCUUGCCAACUCGUUUCGGUGAAAAUUGAGGAUGGCUCAUAUCAAGACGACUCUUGUAAUUACAUAUUGACACUAAUGGAUUCAAUUGAGGAAAAGGGUUUACCGUGGUGGGACUUUCCAUGAUCAGUGCUCUGCACAAGCAUCGGAGGGAGAUUUUUUUUUUUUAACCAAUUCGACCUUUCAAGCGUCAUGAAGUCGCAUCCACUUCCAUUGUAGCGAUGUAAAGAGUUAAGAUGCGCCGCUCUCGCUGUCGCAACUACAGGACGCACUUCUCUCUCUUCGAGCAUCGUGUACUUCCGUAUUUAAGUCGGACCUUCCGAAUCAGCGGCCGUCGAGGAGCGCCAAUCGCAAGAGCACUUCUUUUCUUGUAACUUGCACAUAUUUAUUAUGGAAAUAGAAAUAAUAAAGUGUUGCUGUUGCAACUCAUUUCGAGGGCGGUAGUCCAAUCCAUCGAAAGAUGUAACAUCACGCCAAAUAUUUUUUCGCUCAACAAUCAGCACUACUUAUAGACAUGCCAUAAAAAAACAAAGGACCCUAGCUGCAAUAUGCAAGCUCGAACCCAUCCAUGGCUGUACUAAUUCAUUUCAGAUGAACUUCACCGAUGUUCAUCAGUGUAUGUUACUCUUUAAAAUAACCUUUGUCUUUUCUCUGAAGACUUGAGAAGCCUAAGCUCAUGUUGAGUUUUGUUUUGUUGCAUUCCUCGCUGCAGAUUCUGGCACUCUCCAGUUCCAAAACUUCUUAUCCUUCAUCUCCGAAACAGUAGCUGUUUUGUCCAUAUUCCCUUCGGUGUUCCGCAGCAUGCAGUGGACAUUCUUCUCGGCGGGAGAAUUUUCUGCCUUGUAUCACGCAUCUGAAAUACGACGUGAGGAUUGUUUGUACUGAUAGUGCGUGCGUGAUUUUGCUUUGAAUUGCGCAGGCACUGGUCCUGUGAGCAUGUUCUUUUAAAGAGAAAAAAACUUCUUUCGUAUUGCGUAAUUCAAUCAAGAUAACAUCCGUGAAUAGAGCGUGAUCUUCCUGCAGGUAGUUUGUCUCUGGUCUCGUAAUGACAAUCUGAAAGCAUCGCGCUCACAGAGUAGACCAGGCAGCGUGGUCAUCCGUUUGAAUGCACCGCACACCACGUGCAAUGCGUCUGGUUAGACUUCACGAGGGCUAUGGUCAGGAGCAUCACGGACUUCUCCUAAUGCCUCCAUUGUGCGACUGCAGCAUUGAUGAGGCUUCCUUGCUAUGAUUUGAGUCUUAGAUUUAUCAAGCAAGGUGCGCGAACGCGAGACGUCAGGACAAAUAAGAACUCGUCCUCUACCGAAGCAUUUUUAAAUUUUUUUUACAGAUUGUUUGGUUGGUCAUCAAUCGUCAACAUUUUCCUUGAAUGUUGACAACAUGACAGUCUUCGGGGAGCUUCUGUAGACUUGAUUUCCAUUCUUCAUUUGUUACAUUGCAUAUUAUACGUCAUAAGAUGAUAAGAGCUUAAAUAGAAGUGGAUCAUCCGAGACUGCGAUAACUCUAAGGUCACUUUUUGAGUAGAUUCUGAAUACAGAGAAGAUCCUGCAGAGUAUGUUUAAAUGAUAUCUCAUUCUUUGUUCUCCGUCUGUCUUGAUAUGGUUAGAUCACUCGGGGACACACAACGAUCGCUAUCCAUAGAAAGUGACUGCAUCGUCUAGAAUCUGUCCCAACACUUUAUACUUGUCUAUUUUAAAAAUUCGUCAGAAUAUUGUGGUUCUCUUUGAAGUCUCGGAAAUCAUUUGGAAGUGGCAUGAAGAAUCGAGGAACAGAUUCUAUUCUGAGCAGUGCUGGCAUAACCAAAGAGGCGCAGAAUGCCACGACAGAGUCGAUUUUUUUCUCUCUACUGAAGAAUCUCGACAAGCUGGGUCCUCAGAAAGGCCGCGUUGCUCCAGUGAAAGUUAACUGUUCGCGAUAUUUCUCAUGGUUCCUUACGAGCUUGAAGGUGAAAGGCUUGUGUCGCUGUGGUACUUCAUGUGGCUGUCUGACGCAAAUCUAUGAUGCAGGGUGCAGUCAGAAGAGUUUAAUUUCUAUCAUUAAACGUUAUCAACACUAUACUGAUAAUAUAAUCGUCAAUUUAUCCCUCGUGCUCCCUUCAGACUUGUGUUUUCGGGGUUUGUGUGAUCGUCACUCUAAACAUUUGCCCCUCAAUGAAGCCAACUGCGAGACUUAUCCUUUCAACCUCUCAGUGUGCUGCACCGGAAAGGUUCGACUGCGUGUGGCAGUGCCAGACCUUUAGCACUGGUACCUGGUGCAGACACUUUUGAAGACUUCAGGCGAAGGUUCUUUCAGAGCAGUAGAUUCAUGUCUGUUAAUUAACAUCAACCUCUCUCAUUAUAAACUUUCUCCAUCGCCACUCAUAGAAGCAUCAAUGCCAGACGUGCAACCUAUAUACGGAUAUCACAUCAACGCUUUCUUUAUAAUUCGCGUGCAUGUGCAAGAACAUCAUACCAGUCUCUUGUCACCAACUGCUGAUCCUGACGUGUCUUGUCCAGCUGAACGAAAUAUCCUGCAACCUCGACUGUGUUAGACCCUCUCGCCAUGGCAGCUUAUGGUAAAGAAUUCUCACUACAAUAUCUAUAUAACGCUCUGACCGCUUCAAAGAUUCUUCAUCGUGAAGCUGCAUUUGAAAACUUAUUCCAUUGCUUUCAUACCUGCACACACACACACACACAGAGACAUAUAAUUUAUCUAUAUAUAGAUAGAGAGAAUGUUUUUCUGCUCUUCCCCAGUAACCAAGUCAGUUCCCUCUUGUAACUAUGAAUCUUAAAGUCUUUCCCCUUUUCUCUCUAGGCAAGUGUUGACAUAUUCCCCAUAUGCACUAUACCGCUGAUGAAAGCACCACUGUCUGCUGACAUUCAUCAUUUCCUGUCUUCAUGCGUCGAUUACUAAUGACGACCUGGUUGUCAACACAGCUGGUUCACUUCUCUUUUUCGAUUCUUACCUCGUGAUGACCACGAUGUCUGUUUUGCCUUCUGCGACCGUUUUGAUGAGUCUCCAUUGGUUAUCUUUAUGUGCAGGACUGAAGAAUUGGCCGCAGCCCUAACUUGUUACGGCCGUCUCUGUCACGCCAACCGUAAGUUACUCCUUUCCUACGCACAGACUGGACACUUUCUUUUGUUCUUGUGCCCGAACCUUGAAAUUCGAUCAUCUGUGAUAGUCCACAUUCCACGCUCUGCAGCGUGACCACAUCUUCAAGGUCCAGCAAACGUUUCCUCACUGUUGCGCUUUCCCGAUGCCAAUGCUGAAUAGAAAACGAACCUCAAGGUCGAAUGAAGGGGGUCACGUAACAACAGGCCAAACCGGAACAGUAAAUUUGAGACCAGCAGAUGGAGUGUAUGUCAGAUAACAUGGAGACGCAUGAGCUUUACACACGAUUAGAGAAUAGAACCGUUGCUUUUUUUUCUUUUUUUCUUUUCCCAUUGUCUCCCGUUUCGCCCUCUGGCAACAUGCCUGUGUCAGACAUUGGUUUUUCAGGUACUCUGCCGUGGUUAUAGUAACCACGUACGUUUGUAGGCUUGCGGGAGGGGGGUUUCUUUUCAGACAGUAAGAGUGAGAUUUCAUGUUGUCUUCGUCGAAGCACUUUCUUCUACAGCAAAUCUUUGUCGUCUGGCUCUUUGUGUGCCUGUGCAGGUGCGCGAGAUGAGGUAACGCCCAAGAUUACUCCGGACAAGCUCAAUGCAGCGUGACGAAGAGAUGCUCCAGAUCGAUAAGUAUGGCGUGAAGGGAAGAAGAACCUGCUGCUGCUGCCGAGUGGGCUACAGACCACCGCCUGUCAGUGGCGUUUCUUCCACAACAUUGUCCAUAUCGACUGUGUGGAGGAACUUUGUGCUGCUUUCCUUGGUGUUUACAAGAAAAGUAAAUAUGUUUUUGAUGAAUGUUUUGUGUGUAGUCUAAUUCAUCUAAUCAUUUUCAAAGGCAUCGUUGAUAUAAACAAGUUUUUAGCACUUAUUUCCAAUGUUUUGAAAGAACUAUUACUAUUAAUAUAUUUUUUUGAAUUUAAUAUUGAAUAAUCAAGUUUUUAUACAUUUGAUGAAUUCAAUGAUAAAAGUUUGAAACUCUUUUGCAAGGUUAUGCAAUUACAGGACUUUUCAAAGGUUGAUUUCAUAGUACUUAAUAUUUUCACAAAACAUUUUUACAAUAUUUAUAGAUCUUAAAGAUUCUCAUAAAAUCAAAAAACUAUAUUUUGUUUAAUUAAGAAAGAUUUUUUUUUUAUUUUGAAUUUAUUUUAUUUUAUAAUUUAAGAGCUAAUACAAUAGAAAAAAUAUACAAAAUUUAAACCAAAACUAUUCAACAUUCAUUUUGUUGAUAAUUUUUUAAAAUUUGUAUUAUCUUUCUAUUUUUUUUUUGGUUUUUUCUUUAUUAAAUUAAUUAUAUAAUAUAGCAUAUUAAUUUUUAUUUAUAAAAUAUUUUAAUAUAAAUUUAUUUUAUAAUUUUUUGAUAUCAAUAAAAGUUUAUAUAUAAUUUGUAUGGAAAGAGGGGGAUGUAUCUACAAAAGAGCUUACGUCAAAUAUAUAUGUUUAUUCCAAUAUUUACAUAAUUAAAUAGAAAUAGGUAAAAAAUAGAUUAAUUUUAUAAUAUUUUCCAAAAAACAUUCUUAGAAGUUUUAUAGAUAUGGUUUUGACUUUACAUAUGUUUAUAGGUUAGAAACUUGGUCAACAAAUUAGCCACAUGUCACAUGUGUUGAUAUCUUGUGGAACAAACUAAUUAUGUGACACAUAUAUAGAAAAUUUACCUUGUAAGUUAAGAUAUGAAUCUUGAAAUUUAGAUAAGUAUUAUAAGUCUUAUAGAAUGUCCAUAUGUUAAGGCCACAAAUUAAAAGAAGAUGCAUAAACUCAUGGAAUUUGUGUCAAAAGAAAAGUAACAAAAUAGAAGAAAGUAUGUAUAUUUAAGGAAGAAUUGGAAUGGCUAUUGUCAAAGAUUAGAAAACAUAAGAUUUUUGAAACUAGACUAAAAAGCAAGAAAAGAGUUGAAAAGAGUAAGAAAGACUUCAUUCUUGUUACUAUAUAUACUACUUAACUAAGAAAUAUGUGGCAACAUGCUAUAAGAUCUCUAAUACAUGUCUAACUUGCAGGAUACAUGUCUAAUUUACAAGGCAAGUUUCCUAGGUGUAUGCCAUAUGUCCAACUUGUAUUACAAGUAGUCAACAUGUUGACACGUAGCAUCCUUGUUGGCCAAGUUUUUAACCUACCAAUCACCUAUAGACAUAUAUAAAGGCAAAGCACCGUCUAUGAAGCUUCAAAGAAGCUUUCUACAAAAUAUUAUCAUAUUUAUCUACUUUGAUUUACUUCUAUCUAAUCUUAUUAUCUAGAUAAUUAUCAGGACAAAUAUGUAUGUCCAUGACAUUACCUCUUUUUCUAGGAACAAAUUCCACAAAGAGCAAAGAUUACAUAUUGAUGAAGUCCAAGAUGCACCAAAUUAUAUUUGCCAUGUACUCUAAUCUUUAUUUCCUUCAAAGGUAGUUGAUAGGUCCUUUCAACUAUCGAUAAUGUCUCAUACCAUAGCAAGAAGACUACCUUGAUAUUUGAUUAUUAUUGAGGCCUUCAUAACUUUCUUCAAACAAAAUAUUAAUAAUACUAUCAAGAAUGGUUCUUACUUCCAAAAGUAUCACUAAACAUCAGAAGUCCCUUCCAAGGUCAUGAUACCAAACGCAUUGUAUCUCGCCAUCUAUUCGAGAAAGAAUAUGUUGUUCUUGAGGAUCUUCAUUUUGAUUUUAUUGUCUCAAAGGUUGUGAUAGUCGCAAUAUCUCAUAUGGUAGCUCAGCAAAUGAUAGCUCUUCAACUGAAUCUUUUGGUUGUUGGUUCUCUAUCUCUUAUGCACUAAAAAAUCUAAAGAAACACUGAUAUAAGAUAGAAUGAAAAUCUCCAUUGGACUUACUUUGCUUUAUAGCAAAGAAUUUCUUGAUUCUUUAUCUUGGUUUUGAUAGAUAUCAUUGAUAAAAAGUUUUAACUUUGGCUAAUAUAUUUGCUAGAUUCAUGGAUGGCUCCCAUGUGCAUUCAUUAAUGUCAUAUCUAUGCCAAUGUACUAGAUAUUCUAACCUAUUUUGGCGCUACCUUGAAUCUAAGACUUCUUUCACCUCAAAUUCUUUAUUAUUAUCUAUUUCUAUAGGAGGUGGUGGCAUUUGUCUCCUUGCUUGUCUAUCUAUUGUCUUGUAUGGCUCAAGUAAAGAUACAUGGAACAUAGGAUGGAUUUUUAUAGACUCUGGUACGUAUAAUCAAUAAGCAAUUGGAUUGAUCUAUUUACAAAUUGAAAAUGGUUCAAGCCUACAAUAAUCUAGCUGUCACGGACCAAAAAUACAAACAAGAAAUCUAAACAAGAAGUUCAAGAAGAAAUGACAAGAACUAGAUUAUCAGAUGAGUACAAGAGCAAUGUCAAGAGAAUUGAGCUAGAGCUUCAAGAGAUGUGUUGUCGAGACUGAAGAACUCUUCAGCCUCGACUCCUAUAUAUACUACUGGCCUAUGGUUCUAAGGAAGUGCAUCAAGAAGCUUCCUAAGAACUAUGAAGCUUCUCGAGCAACUACCCAAGAGCUAGGAAGCUUCUAAAGUAACUUCCUAGAAUCUACUAGAAUAUUCUAAGAAUCUUCUAGAGCCUUCUAAGGGAAUCUUUAGGGAAUCUUCAAAGAAUUUUUAGGGAAUAUUUAAACAAUAUUCUAAGAGAAUAUUCAAGGAAUCUUCUGAAAGUUUCUAGAGACUUCUUUCUAAAAGGUUCUAGAAACUUGUCUCUAGAAAGGUCUAAGGACUAUGUCUCUAACAUCACCUCCUCCUUUAGCUUCAAGGUCUCCGAGAAGCAAUGUUAUCGUCAGUCAAUACCAACACAAGAAAAUGAAGAUCUGUCGCAUAACCUCUGCUAUGAACUCCAAUUGUUGUUCACGAGGCAAGUGAUUCAAUGGUCCUUGAAGCCAACGGUAGUGGCCCACGCCUUCAACUUCUGACCAAGCAUGAACCUCCGUAUCUUCAUUGUGAAAUUGUCCUGCAAACACUCCUUCUGGCUGACCAUUGUAGGCAGGCUCGACCUCAAAUACAAUCACCAGCGAUUUGUUGCUCGGAAUCCUUCGACGUCGUCAUGGUGCAAGCGGUUCUUCAUCUUGCGGUCGUCUUCGUGAGCUAGUUGCUUGAGAUGACAUGACAAGUGUAGUAUCUUGGCUAUCCAUAUUCAAAGGCUAAAACAAUAAGAACAAACUUGGGUUACUAACAAAGUUCUACGCUAUCUUGGAGAGAACGACUACAUCAACUAUGGAUUUUGGUGGUGCUCUCUUCUCUUUUCUAUUUUCUGGAUGAGCAAGCUUCAGUAGAAGCUAUCGUCGAACCGGCUUGGGUUUCUCAGGAUAUCGUCGAUGAAACUCCUAUACAUUUUGCAGCGCAUUCGUGAGAUUUUCGGCCGGCUCUCAUGUUCGUUCAUUAAUAUCGUAACCGCUCUAAUGCACAAAGUAUUCUAAUUUACCCCGUCUUUGCUGUGAAUCCAAGACCUUUUCCACCUCGCGUUCUUCGUGGUUCUCUAUUUCUAUGCUAGGUGGUGGACAUUAUACUCUUCUAAGAAAAGACGAUUCUCGAUAAGGCUCCAACAAAGAAACAUGAAAGACAGGAUGUACCUUCAUAGUAGCUAGUAACUCCAGACGAUAUGCUAUAGGAUUGAUCUGCUUCUGGAUAACAAAUGGACCCAAUCUCCGAUAGUCCAAUUUAUCACAUGGCCGCUUGGUCUUAAUAUUUUGUCGAAGCAGCCAAACUUUGUCUCCAAUCGUGAAUUUAGGUGCUUGAUUCUGAAAUUUGUCCUCGGACGCCUUGUAAGAUUCUUGGGCAGUUUGCAAUUGAAGCUUCAAUGUAGUUUGAAGCUGCAAAAGCUCCUUCACCAAUCCUUCAGCUGCCGGAUUGUUAAUCGUUGACGAACUCCAUAAGUCAAGCUUCGGAUGGUAUCCAUAAUUGGAAAAGAAUGGCGUUUGUUGAGUUGACACAUGAAGGGUGUUGUUAUAUGCGAACUCGGCUAGCGGUAGAUAUGCGACCCAAUCAUCUUCUUGAUAGUUGAUGGUGCAACGUAAAUAUUGCUCUAAAACUUGAUUCACCCGUUCUGUUUGGCCGUCUGUUUGAGGAUGAAAUGCCGAAGAAAGCUUGAUAUCCACCUUCAAUAUUUCAAAAAGAGAUUUCCAAAACUUUGAUACAAAUUGGGUUCCUCGAUCCGAUACGAUAUCAUCUGGUAGACCAUGAUAUCGAUACACAUUAUCAAGAAAGAGUCUUGUUGUGUCUUUGCUUGACGAUGUCUUCUUGCAAGGGACAAAAUGCGCCAUCUUUGUAAGCCGGUCUACGACAAUAAAAAUGCUGUCAAAUGAAUUCGAUGGUGGUAGAUCCGUAAUAAAGUCCAUGGAAACCGAAGACCAUGGUCGGCGCGGAAUAGGCAAUGGCUGUAGAAGUCCACAAGGCCGAUGUCGAGGGUUUUUGGAUCUUGAACAAAUGUCACAAGAUACAACAAAAUAGUUCACAUCCUUCCACAUUUGAGGCCACCAGAAAUCGCGGGAAAUAAGUUCCAAGGUCUUAUUGAAUCCAAAAUGUCCCGCAGCUGGAAAGUCAUGACGAGAUUGAAGAACUCGGAGUCGUGUUGGCCCUUUUGGGAUAUACAACCGCUCUUCGAAAUAUACUAGAUCUCCUUCCAUCUUGAAUUUAUCAUCACUAGCAUGUUGUUUGAUAUCAAGGGCUAGAGAAUCUUCAAUGGUUGCGGCCCAUACCUGGUCGAGGAAGUCAGCAUCAAUUGGUACAAUAGCUGCGUUGAGCCGAAAUUUCUCUAGCUUCAACAAUGUCGUGCACUGUUGAUCAAAUGCUGCAUCUCCAGCCUUUGGCGCGAGAUAUGAUCUCUUUGAUAAUGCAUCGGAUAACCCUUGUUGCUUCCCAGGCCGAUAAGUAAUAACAAAGUCGAACCUGAAUAGCGACAUACUCCACCGAGCUUGACGCCGAUUCAAAACCCGAGCCGACAUAAAAUACUCCAAAUUCUUAUGAUCCAUAUAUACGGUCACUGGAUGUGCAGUUCCUUCGAGAAAGUGGCACCACUCUUGGAAAGAAUCUACUAUAGCAAGGAGUUCCUUAUCGCGGAUCUCAUAGUUGAUCUUAGCAGCAGAGAAUUUUCGAGAAUAGAACGCAACUGGAUGGAGCUUCUCAUCUACGCCCAUCUGUGAAAGUACAGCUCCCAAAGCAAAAUCCGAAGCAUCUGUCUCCAAAUAAAAGGCCUUUGUAAAGUCCGGAUGUACCAAGAUUAGAGCUGUAGUAAAUACCAUCUUCAAAUCUUGAAAUGCUUUUUCUGCGAUAGGUCCCCAUUCGAGCUUGUCCUUACACGUUAACCGAGUGAGGGGGGCAGCAACUUGAGAAUAAUUCUUGAUGAAGAUCCGAUAGUAGUUAGCAAAUCCAAAAAAACAUUGGACGUCCCUAACCGUCUUCGGAACUUCCCAAGACAUGAUUGCUUCCACCUUCUUUGGAUCCAUCUUCAAGCCUUCCGUAGUCGCGAUGAAUCCCAAAAACUUCAUCUCAGUUUGGUGAAAUAAGCACUUGUCCAAUUUGGCAUAGAGUCCUCGCUCCCGUAGUUUUUUGAGUACCAGAUGAACAUGCUUCUCAUGUUCUUCCUCGUUCUUAGAAAAUAUCAAAAUAUCAUCUAGAUAGAUGACAACAAAAUCAUCUAGAUGCUCUCGAAAGAUGUCAUUCAUCAUGUGUUGAAAGACCGCUGGAGCAUUAGUAAGACCAAAUGGCAUGACAUUGUAUUCAAAAUGGCCAUACCUUGUUCGGAACGCUGUCUUCCAUUCAUCUCCUUCCUUAAUUCGCACAAGGUUGUAAGCUCCCCUUAAGUCAAUCUUUGUAAAGAUCCUUGCACGCCCAAGUUAUUCUAGAAGACCAGAGAUCAAAGGUAGUGGGUAGCGAUUCUUUUUUGUCACCUUGUUGAGACCUCGAUAGUCCACGCACAUCCGUAGUGAGCCAUCCUUCUUCUUCACAAAUAAGAUUGGUGCCCUAGCCGGCGACUUCGAAUGACGGAUGAAGUUCUUGGCUAGAUUCUCGUCAAUGUACUUCCGCAAUUCAGUCAACUCUGUCUACGACAAAUUGUAGAUUGGUCCAAAAGGUGGUUGUGCUCCUUCUUACAAUUCAAUGGCACAGUCAUAGGGUCGAUGCUCUGGCAGCAUAUCAGCAUUCUUCUUUUCAAAGACAUCUUUGAAUUCUUCAUAUUGCUUUGGAAUAAUCAAAGUCGGAGUUGCAUCUUUUCAAGUCGGAGUUGCGAAGAUGACAAGAGGUGUAUUUUGCUUGGCUUCCUUCAUGAAAGCCCUUGCACCUAUAAACAAGGAUUUGUUUCUAGACAUUGUCUUGGCAGAUUCCACCUUCAAGGAGUUUGUUGAAAAUGUCACUUUCCGCAACUUCCAAUCUAUUAAUGGAUUAUAUCUAUCAAGCCAAGAUAGUCCCAAAAUGAUAGGACAUGAAGGGGUCUUGAUAACAUUAAACACAAUAUUGCUCUCAUGGUUUUUAAGACGUACCUUCAAUGGUUUAGUUUCAUGGAUAACAUUGCCUGAAGACAAUGGUUGUCCGUCUAUGACUUCUACAUGGACAGGCUUAAGUUUCUUUACAAGAGAAAUAUUGUGAAGCUUGGCAAACUCUUCAUCUAUAAAGCAAGCAGAUGCACCCGAGUCUAAUAAAGCAUCGACUUGUAGUUCUUGAAUACCUAGAUGUAAAGGUACCAUAAAACAAUCUGAAGGUUGAGCUGAGAGAAAGGGACCUUGAUUAAUUUUGGAUGUUGACAUGUCCAACCGCACGGUCCCUAUUGUGGCUGGGCGUCCUUGUUUUCCUGCAUACUUGUACUCCUAAGUCUUGUUGUUUGAGGCUUCUGUUUCUUCCGACAAUCUACAGCUUUAUGGCCCGCUUCUCCGCAAUAUAAACACAAGUUUUGUUCAAACCGUCGCUUCCUUUCCUCAGCUGUGAGGGGUUUGAAACGUACCGCAUCAAUUUGCAUGGGUUCAGGAUCUGUGGAGUGAUUCUCUGGACUUUUUGAAAAUAUAGCAAAUGCUCCAUCAUUUCUCCAGCUUGAUCAUCUUUCUUGUCGUAAUUCAAAGAGGCGGUUGUCAUAAAUAAUUGCCUGAGAUAUAAGUUCUUCUAAAGUAUCCGCCUUAGGCAUGGUGAUCAAUAAGUUCUUGACAUCAUCUCUCAGUCCAUAUCGAAAUCGUGUCAUGAACGUCUUAUCAUUCCAAUCAAGAUCACAUGUAAGCUGUUGAAAUUCUGCAACAUAGAUUGCAGCAGAACGUGAUCCUUGUCGUAGAUUUUGUAUCUUUCUUUCAGCCACUCUUUCUUGAUCGCUAUCUCCAAACGGAGCACUAAGUCUCUCUAUGAAAGCCUCUAGGUCGUGCAAUAUUAGAGAAUCCUUCUCCAAUAGUGGAGCAAACCAAGAGCGAGCAUUUUCUGAUAGAAGAGUACCUAUGAAAGCAACCUGGGUAAAUCCAUUCGGAUAACGAGAAGGGUAUAGGCGUAGGUAAAGCCGUACUUAUUGCACAAAACCUCAGAAGUUGGCUCUUGUUCCGUCAAACUUGUCUAACAUACUCGCUUUUGGUUCUUUCGUACUAAUCCUUGAAGUAUCCAUAGGGGUCGUAUGUGACACAUGUCUUGCUUCUCUCAGUCGAAUAAUCUCUUGUUGUAGGCUAUGAAUUUUGUGUCUAGCUUCUUCGGUCACUAGAUCAAUUUGAGGUUCUUUACUUGGAUUGCAAAGAAAUGCAAUCUCCUUUCGUACACUAUUCAUAAGAGCUUGAAGAUCUGCAAGAGUUGCCACUCUAUUGUCUACUUGUGGAGAUGCACUGUCUAUGACCUGGUCUACUUCAAUAUUUAAGAAUAGAUGGAUUAAAAUUUUGAGAGAAGAAAAAAUUGCUAAGUCUCUUGGAGAAAAUUGUAGCACUACCUGUCACUAAAACCUACUCGGAAAAAAGAAAAAAAAUACUAAACGAUUUCAGUUUUAGAGGAGGGUAAUCCGCUGUCGUAUUACGUGCUUUCCUGCUUGAGAACGCGCCGGGCGUCUCGCUGUAGAAGGUAGUAUGGAGAUCCGUCGAUAGUCAAGCAGUCUAUCAGUUUUUACUGCUAGAAUAUAAACGACUGCAAGAAUAUACCGUAAAUCUUUACUGAUGCCCUUCGACUGCUUGUUGAAGUCCUUUUUUUGCCCCAGCCGGUAGGUCUCUAGACGUUACAGAGAACCCCGAACAACCCAAACUGUUAAUCUUCAAUACCCCUUUGUACUUACGAUCUUGUAUCCACUGAUUGUCCUGUUAGAUUAACCCAAUAAAUUUCAUUCACUCCGCAUACUCAAUCCUAUAGACACCCCUUUAAUCCUUCAAUCACAGACGUAACUCGAUUUUACAAAACAGUCAAGAGUAUUCAAACCCACUUCAUUUAAAAAUCCCGAUUCACCAUUACAACACUGACUUCAGCAGCGAUUGCCUCAGUCGUCCCAAAACUCUACGAAGAAGAAAAAUCCAAAUUCUAUGUCUUUCCUUCCCCGACCCGAAGCAUGAAGCUCCUCUCUCUAAUUCCCUUGAUCUUCCAAAAACCUCCAAUGAAAACCGAACUAGUAACCUUGCAAAAGCUUGAAAACUCGCUCCCCCUGAUUCCUCCCGAAAAAAAAACUUCCCCCCUCAAAACUAUAUCCCCCUCUAACCUUAUCCUCUGAAUUUCUUCAAUCUUCCGUCUUAGAUCCGGAAUUGGCUCCCACCUCAAGCUUGGAUCCAAAAUUGGCUCUCGCCGUCAAGCUUUCUCCUCCGUUUUUACCUUUAAGAAAUCCAUUUACCGAAAACAACGUUUCCUGAAACGGCAUAGAGAACAAGACAGCCUGAAACAGAAUCGAACCCCGUAAUCGGGACCACAUUGAGUCGCCCGACCAAUUCAGGUCCUAUAUUGGGAAAGAUGCCCGUAGUAACCUAGAUGUUCCCGUAAUUGGGUCAAAUUGGUCCUCGCGUUGUCGUGUUGUAACACGAGUAUACAGUGAAAAUAAAAAGAAAGGGGGAUUUUAUUAAUAUUCAGUUAUCUCGAAUAUUGGGAGCAUCGACCAACUCCAGUACAAAUACUGAGUGGUCAGGUUCAGUGACUCCGUUACAGUCAGCCGGGGCAUACUGGAAUGCCCCGUUCGAUUCGAAUAACGGGAGUCAGUAGGAAGAGAAGGACCAAUUCACACGACGGGUUCGAGGAGCCAAUUGGAUCCAAUUUCGAUAAUCCAAUCCGGGUCCUCUUACCCAAUAUGAGACCUGUAUUGGUGGGGCAACCCAAUGCAGUCUAGUUACGGGAAAUCGAGGUCUUACUACGGAUCUUAGCCAAUCUGACGCGAGGACCAAUUUGACCCAAUUACGGGAACAUCCAGGUUAUUACGGGCAUCUUUCCCAAUAUAGGACCUGAAUUGGUCGGGCGACUCAAUGAAGUCCCGAUUACGGGAUUCGAUUCUGUUUCAGGCUGUCCUGUUCUCUGUGCCGUCUCAGGGAACGUUGUUUUCGGUAAAUGGAUUUCUUAAAGGUAAAAACGGAGGAGAAAGCUUGAGGUGGGAGCCAAUUUCGGAUCCAAGCUUGAGGUGGGAGCCAAUUUCGGAUCCAAGCUUGAGGUGGGAGCCAAUUCCGGAUCUAAGACGGAAGAUUGAAGAAAUUCAGAGGAUAAGGUUAGGGGGAUAUAGUUUUGGAGUGGUGUGGAUUUUUAUUUAGGGUGGAUGGGAGGUUUUUGGAGAUCAAGGGAAUUAGAGAGAGGAGCUUCAUGCUUCGGGUCGGGGAAGGAAAGACAUAGGAUUUGGAUUUUUCUUCUUCGUAGAGUUUUGGGGAAGACUGAGGCUAUCGCUGCUGAAGUCAGUGUUGUACUGGUGAAUCGGGAUUUUUAAAUGAAGUGGGUUUGAAUACUCUUGACUGUUUUGUGAAAUCGAGUUACGUCUGUGAUUGAAGGAUUAAAAGGGUGUCUAUAGGAUUGAGUAUGCGGAGUGAAUGAAAUUUAUUGGGUUAAUCUAACAAGACAGUCAGUGGAUACAAGAUCGUAAGUACAAAGGAGUAUUGAAGGUUAACAGUUUGGGUUGUACGGGGUUCUCUGUAACGUCUAGAGACCUACCGGCUGGGGCAAAAAGGACUCUGACAAGCAGUCGAAGAGCACCCGUAUAGAUUUACGGUACAUUGUUGCAGUCGUUUAUAUUCCAGCAGUCAAAAACUGAUAGACUGCUUGACUAUCGGCGAAUCUCCAUACUACCUUCUACAGCCAGACGCCCGGCGCGUUCUCGAGCAGGAAAGCACGUAAUACGACAUAAGUGGUGAACCCGACGUGAAAGCUUGAGGUAGAAGGUAUUGGAUUUUGGUUGAUUUUAUCUUUAUUUUUUAUGGAAAACGAAAAUAAAAAUUUUGAAGGAUUUUUGGGAGAAAUUUCUGGUGGAGAGUCUUCUAAAGGACAAGGUAUGCACAUGGAUCCAUCUAUUGCUAGUUUGUUUCAAGCCUUCUCAUUGUCAAUGCAGCAACAGCAAAGCAAUGAUCGAAAGGAAGCUUUGGCAACCAAAGCAUGCAAGCCGUGGUCGAUAAAAUUGAUCGAUUUGAUGGGAGGAAUAUUUCAAGGGAUUUAAGAUGUUAUGUUUCGUGAAAUGAAAUUAAAUCGGGUUUCUNNNNNNNNNNNNNNNNNNNNNNNNNNNNNNNNNNNNNNNNNNNNNNNNNNNNNNNNNNNNNNNNNNNNNNNNNNNNNNNNNNNNNNNNNNNNNNNNNNNNNNNNNNNNNNNNNNNNNNNNNNNNNNNNNNNNNNNNNNNNNNNNNNNNNNNNNNNNNNNNNNNNNNNNNNNNNNNNNNNNNNNNNNNNNNNNNNNNNNNNNNNNNNNNNNNNNNNNNNNNNNNNNNNNNNNNNNNNNNNNNNNNNNNNNNNNNNNNNNNNNNNNNNNNNNNNNNNNNNNNNNNNNNNNNNNNNNNNNNNNNNNNNNNNNNNNNNNNNNNNNNNNNNNNNNNNNNNNNNNNNNNNNNNNNNNNNNNNNNNNNNNNNNNNNNNNNNNNNNNNNNNNNNNNNNNNNNNNNNNNNNNNNNNNNNNNNNNNNNNNNNNNNNNNNNNNNNNNNNNNNNNNNNNNNNNNNNNNNNNNNNNNNNNNNNNNNNNNNNNNNNNNNNNNNNNNNNNNNNNNNNNNNNNNNNNNNNNNNNNNNNNNNNNNNNNNNNNNNNNNNNNNNNNNNNNNNNNNNNNNNNNNNNNNNNNNNNNNNNNNNNNNNNNNNNNNNNNNNNNNNNNNNNNNNNNNNNNNNNNNNNNNNNNNNNNNNNNNNNNNNNNNNNNNNNNNNNNNNNNNNNNNNNNNNNNNNNNNNNNNNNNNNNNNNNNNNNNNNNNNNNNNNNNNNNNNNNNNNNNNNNNNNNNNNNNNNNNNNNNNNNNNNNNNNNNNNNNNNNNNNNNNNNNNNNNNNNNNNNNNNNNNNNNNNNNNNNNNNNNNNNNNNNNNNNNNNNNNNNNNNNNNNNNNNNNNNNNNNNNNNNNNNNNNNNNNNNNNNNNNNNNNNNNNNNNNNNNNNNNNNNNNNNNNNNNNNNNNNNNNNNNNNNNNNNNNNNNNNNNNNNNNNNNNNNNNNNNNNNNNNNNNNNNNNNNNNNNNNNNNNNNNNNNNNNNNNNNNNNNNNNNNNNNNNNNNNNNNNNNNNNNNNNNNNNNNNNNNNNNNNNNNNNNNNNNNNNNNNNNNNNNNNNNNNNNNNNNNNNNNNNNNNNNNNNNNNNNNNNNNNNNNNNNNNNNNNNNNNNNNNNNNNNNNNNNNNNNNNNNNNNNNNNNNNNNNNNNNNNNNNNNNNNNNNNNNNNNNNNNNNNNNNNNNNNNNNNNNNNNNNNNNNNNNNNNNNNNNNNNNNNNNNNNNNNNNNNNNNNNNNNNNNNNNNNNNNNNNNNNNNNNNNNNNNNNNNNNNNNNNNNNNNNNNNNNNNNNNNNNNNNNNNNNNNNNNNNNNNNNNNNNNNNNNNNNNNNNNNNNNNNNNNNNNNNNNNNNNNNNNNNNNNNNNNNNNNNNNNNNNNNNNNNNNNNNNNNNNNNNNNNNNNNNNNNNNNNNNNNNNNNNNNNNNNNNNNNNNNNNNNNNNNNNNNNNNNNNNNNNNNNNNNNNNNNNNNNNNNNNNNNNNNNNNNNNNNNNNNNNNNNNNNNNNNNNNNNNNNNNNNNNNNNNNNNNNNNNNNNNNNNNNNNNNNNNNNNNNNNNNNNNNNNNNNNNNNNNNNNNNNNNNNNNNNNNNNNNNNNNNNNNNNNNNNNNNNNNNNNNNNNNNNNNNNNNNNNNNNNNNNNNNNNNNNNNNNNNNNNNNNNNNNNNNNNNNNNNNNNNNNNNNNNNNNNNNNNNNNNNNNNNNNNNNNNNNNNNNNNNNNNNNNNNNNNNNNNNNNNNNNNNNNNNNNNNNNNNNNNNNNNNNNNNNNNNNNNNNNNNNNNNNNNNNNNNNNNNNNNNNNNNNNNNNNNNNNNNNNNNNNNNNNNNNNNNNNNNNNNNNNNNNNNNNNNNNNNNNNNNNNNNNNNNNNNNNNNNNNNNNNNNNNNNNNNNNNNNNNNNNNNNNNGAUUAGGCGCGACUAACUCGGUUGCGCAUAUGAUGAAUGGGAUGAAUAAGGUAUUGAGAGAUUUUAUUCCGGAAAAGACUAUGCCUUUUCUGGAUGAUGUUCCUAUAAAAGGAUGCAGAGAAGGAGACAAGGAUGAAACUUUAGAUACGAGGGGGUGUCGCAGAUAUGUUGUUGAUCAUAUACAAGAUUGUGAAAAGAUUUUAACUCGGCUUGGAGAAGUUCAUCUUACAUUAUUGGGUAUGAAGUCCGUAUUUGGAGUGUGAGAGGUUGUAAUUGUUGGACAUUUAUGCGGAUCUUACGAAAGAAAACCAGAUCCGACUAAAGUUGAUGCAAUUGGAAGGAUGAAAGAGGAUUGUGAUUCUUUAACAGAGGUUCGCAGGUUUUUGGGUGCAUGUGUAUUUUAUCGAAUCUGGAUCCCUCAUUUUGCUCACAUAGCGGAUCCAUUAUAUGAACUGUUACGCAAGGGUUACCGAUUUGAAUGGGAAGAAAGGCAUAUUCAGGCAAUGCAAAGAUUGAAGAAAUUUUUGAUGUCACCUCCAAUAUUGAGGAAGGUUGAUUAUAAGUGCAAUAGACCAGUGAUUCUUACUGUAGACGCUAGUCCAAUUGCCGUUGGAUGGGCUGUGGGUCAAGAUGAUUUGAAUGGGAGUAGAUUUGCAGUUCGAUUUGGAGCUAAAGUUUUAAGUAUUCGUUAGCGUGCAUAUUCGCAAGUCAAAAGAGAACUUUGGGGAGUCGUUUCGGCUAUGAAAGCAGAAAAGGACUAUUUGAUUGGGGCAGUAGUAGUAAUUGAAACAGAUUGCUUGCCAUUGCUUGGAAUGAUUAUUAACUGUUCAACGCCAGAUAUUGCAAUGUUGAGAUGGAUUGCUUAUAUUAAGUCACUAAAUCCAGAAUUUAAGCAUAUCACUGGAAAGGACAAUUUAGUAGCAGACAUGCUAUCUCGAGCAAGAUACGAGAGGGAGGACGAAAUGGUUGAAGACAUUGAUGAUGUCGGAUUGAAAUUCUAUUCAAUAUCAAAUCUCAACAGAGAAGACAAGCUAUUUCUUGAAGAAUCUUAUGAAGGAGAAUUAUUGGAUAUUGGUCAUUAUUUGAAUACCUUGUCUAAGUAGGGGAAUUGGUCUACAGAAAAAUUCAAACAAAUAAGAAAAAAAGCAUAUGGAUUUUUACUUCGAGAUGGAUUCUUAUGGAAGAGACCGAAGAAAGGAAUUGAGAUGCCACAACGAGUGAUAGGCAAAAGGAAAGAAAAACUAAAAUUAUUAAAGGAAUUUCAUGAUAGUUUAUGGGCAGGCCAUAGAGGAAUCUGGGCUACUUUUGCUAAACUCAAGGAACGAUAUUGGUGGAAAAAUAUGUAUCGAGAUGUGCUCUCAUUUGUAGAGUCAUGUGAAAUCUGUCAAUCGUAUUCUAAUAUCCGACAUCGAGAUGGUCUUCAUCCUACGUAUCCUCUGGCUAUUCAUUUUAAAUGGGUUGUUGAUUUAGUUAUUAUGCCGGUUGGGUUAUGGCAGAUGAGAUAUUUGGUUUUAGCUCGUGAAGAUUUAUCAAAUCAAGUAGAAGGAAGAGCAUUGAGGACAAAAUCUACAGAAGGGAUUUGUAGGUUUUUGCUUGAAGAUGUCAUUUGCCGUUACGGGUGCGUAGGAAAAAUCACUGCAGAUCGUGGAGAAUUAAAUGCACAAGAAGCUCGUAAGUUCUUUGAAAAAUGUGGAGUUAAACUAUCACUUACUACUGCUUAUAAUCCGGAAGGGAAUGCGAAAAGCGAACGCGGUCACCCGCCGAUUGUGAAAGCACUGGUUAAAGCUUGUAAUGGGAAGGUUAAAGAGUGGCCACGGCUUUUGUCAUUUGCAUUAUGGGCUGAUCGAACAACACAUAGUUCGGUGACAGGAUAUAUGCCUGUAGAACUUAUGACAGGUCAAAAACCAAUUAUGUCGAUUGAAGAAAAGGUACUUACUUGGAGUAUGCUACCAUGGGAAGAUGGAUUGACAAGAGAAGAACUUCUGGCUAUUAGGAUUCGACAAUUGGAGCAAAGAACGGCAGAUGUCCAGAUAGCAUUGGAAAGGUUAAAAAGAGCAAGGUUACAAAACAAGGCGCGAUUCGAUAAGCAACAUCGAUUGAGACCAAAAGCAAUCGAGGAAGGUGACUGGGUACUUGUUUAUGACAAUAGUCUGGAUAAUCAACAUAGUACUUUGCGGAAAUUUUCAAAACGUUGGUUUGGACCAUAUGUUGUAACAACUGUUCAUGAUAAUGCGACUUACUCAUUACGGGAGUUAGAUGGUACAAAAUUGAAAAUACCAAUUGCAGGGAAGAGAGUAAAAAUAUUUAAACGAAGACACGCAGAGAUGAAUAUGGAAGACCUUAAUGAAGGUACAGAGAUUCCGCAGCAAGAAGAUGAAAGUGAUAUGGAUAAUGAAGGUGACGAAGACGAACUGGACAAAGACGUAGGGGAUAUAUUCUGAAUCAAACAGCAAUUGGGUAAAUUGGUGCAUACCGGAGGAUGCACAGGUUCAGAGGGGGUGGAUGUCGUGUUGUAACAUGAGUAUACAGUGAAAAUAAAAAGAAAGGGGGAUUUUAUUAAUAUUCAGUUAUCUCGAAUAUUGGGAGCAUCGACCAACUCCAGUACAAAUACUGAAUGUGGUCCCGAUUACGGGAUUCGAUUCUGUUUCAGGCUGUCCUGUUCUCUGUGCUGUCUCAGGGAACGUUGUUUUCGGUAAAUGGAUUUCUUAAAGGUAAAAACGGAGGAGAAAGCUUGAGGUGGGAGCCAAUUCCGGAUCUAAGACGGAAGAUUGAAGAAAUUCAGAGGAUAAGGUUAGGGGGAAUGGGAGGUUUUUGGAGAUCAAGGGAAUUAGAGAGAGGAGCUUCAUGCUUCGGGUCGGGGAAGGAAAGACAUAGGAUUUGGAUUUUUCUUCUUCGUAGAGUUUUGGGGAAGACUGAGGCUAUCGCUGCUGAAGUCAGUGUUGUACUGGUGAAUCGGGAUUUUUAAAUGAAGUGGGUUUGAAUACUCUUGACUGUUUUGUGAAAUCGAGUUACGUCUGUGAUUGAAGGAUUAAAAGGGUGUCUAUAGGAUUGAGUAUGCGGAGUGAAUGAAAUUUAUUGGGUUAAUCUAACAAGACAGUCAGUGGAUACAAGAUCGUAAGUACAAAGGAGUAUUGAAGGUUAACAGUUUGGGUUGUACGGGGUUCUCUGUAACGUCUAGAGACCUACCGGCUGGGGCAAAAAGGACUCUGACAAGCAGUCGAAGAGCACCCGUAUAGAUUUACGGUACAUUGUUGCAGUCGUUUAUAUUCCAGCAGUCAAAAACUGAUAGACUGCUUGACUAUCGGCGAAUCUCCAUACUACCUUCUACAGCCAGACGCCCGGCGCGUUCUCGAGCAGGAAAGCACGUAAUACGACAGCGUCAGAUUGGCUAAGACCCGUAGUAAGACCUGGAUUUCCCGUAAUUAGACUGCAUUGGGUUGACCGGCCAAUUCAGGUCUCAUAUUGGAUAAGAGGACUCGGAUUGGAUUAUCGAAAUUGGAUCCAAUUGGCUCCUCAAACCCGUCGUGUGAAUUGGUCCUUCUCUUCCUGCUGACUCCCGUUAUUGGAAUCGAAUGGAGCAUUUCAGUAUACCCCGGCUGACUGUAACGGAGUGACUGAACCUGACCACUCAGUAUUUGUACUGGAGUUGGUUGAUGCUCCCAAUAUUCGAGGUAAUUGAAUAUUAAUAAAAUUCCCCUUUCUUUUUAUUUUCACUGUAUACUCGUGUUACAACACGACACCGCAACCUCUAAAAAUGCCUCAAUGCUUUCGAGAAGAGGGAUAAUCCGCACUCUAUCAAGAAGGCAAAGCUCUGAAAUCGAUGUUAUCAGUCUUUUUUACUAGCUAUGCUAAACAAAAAGAAGGAAUUAAUAUCAAUCCAAGAGAGGGUAAUCCGCAACCCUUAGAAUGCUCAAGUAUCUCCAAAGAAAAGGGUAGUCCACUCUCUACCUCAAAGAACUAAGCUCUGAUAUUGUGAUUGAGAAAAUAUCAGUUUAGAGGAAGGUAAUCCGCAACCCCUAAAGCGCGAGAAUACCUUCAAGAAGAGGGGUAAUCCGCUCUCAAACAAGAAGGAUUCAGCUCUGAUAUUAAGAUAAAGGUAGUCUCGACAAACUGUCACGGACCAAAAAUACAAACAAGAAAUCUAAACAAGAAGUUCAACAAGAAAUGACAAGAACUAGAUUUUAAGAUGAGUACAAGAGCAACGCCAAGAGAAUUGAGCUAGAGCUUCAAGAGAUGUGUUGUCGAGAUUGAAGAACUCUUCAGCCUCGACUCCUAUAUAUACUACUGGCCUAUGGUUCUAAGGAAGUGCAUCAAGAAGCUUCCCAAGAACUAUGAAGCUUCUCGAGCAACUACCCAAGAGCUAGGAAGCUUCUAAAGUAACUUCCUAGAAUCUACUAGAAUAUUCUAAGAAUCUUCUAGAGCCUUCUAAGGGAAUCUUUAGAGAAUCUUCAAAGAAUCUUUAGGGAAUCUUUGAAGAAUAUUCUAAGAGAAUAUUCAAGGAAUCUUUUGGAAGUUUCUAGAAACUUCUUUCUAGAAGGUUCUAGAAACUUGUCUCUAGAAAAGUCUAAGGACUGUGUCCCUAAUACUAGCUUAUCACAAGGAUGAAUAAUUUUAAUAUUACGAUGAAGUAACCAUAUCUCAUCCCCCACAUAGAAUUGAGCUUGUUCUUUAUGAUAGACAUCUGCAUUGGCUUUUUGUUGUUCUUGAGCUUCUUUUAAUUGUACCUUCAUUGUUGCAUGUAGCUCUGACAAUUGAUUUGUCACAUCUUUUGUCCCAAAAUUAUUAACUUUUGAAAAUUUAAAUUAUCAAAUCAUGGAUGAUAAUUAUAAUUGGUAAAGAAAAGUGUUUGUUGAGUAGAAGAAUGUAUCAAAUUAUUUUAAGAAAACUUUAUCAAUAAUAAAAGAGUUGUCUGAUCAUCUUAUUGAUAGUUGAUGGUGUACCUCAAAUACUGCUUUAAAACUUGAUUUAUUCAUUCUGUUUGUGUAUUAGUUUGAGGGUGGAAAGCCAAAGAUACUUUUAUAUCUACCUUCAAUAUCUUGAAAAGAAUUCUUUAAAAUCUUGAUAAAAAUUCUAUUCUUCUAUCUAAUAUAAUAUCCCUUGAUAAUCUAUAAUAGCGAUAGAUGUUGUCAAAAAAGAGUUUAGCUAUUCCUUCACCUAAAAUAUAUUUUGUACAUGGUACAAAAUAUGCCAUCUUGGUGAAACGAUCUACAAUCAUGAAUAUGAAAUCAUAUGAAUUUGAAAUUGGAAGAUCUGUGAUAAAAUCCAUAAAAACAAAAGACCAUAGUUGUUUUGAUAUAAGUAAUAGUUGGAGGAGUCUAUAAAAUCGAUGAUGAGGAUUUUUUGAUCUUGAACAAAUAUCAUAUGUCCGCACAAAUUCUUUAAUAGCCUUCUACAUUUGAGGCAAUCAAAAAUCUUUAGAUAUAAGCUCCAAAGUCUUAUUAUAUCCAAAAUGUCUUGCUGCAGGGAAAUUGUGAUGAGCUUCAAGAGCAUGUAAUCAUGCUUUUCCUUGUGGAACAUAUAAGUGUCUUUCAAAAUAGAGUAGGUUCUUCUUAAACUCAAACUUGGAAGUAACUUGAGACUUAGAGGAAUUUUUUUUAAUAUCAUAAAUAAGAAGGUGUGAGGAUAUAAUUUCUUGGAUCUACUUGAAAAAAGUCAAAUCAACAAGCAAUAUUAAUUUUAUUGUUCAAAAAUAAAUUUUUUUUGAUUUCAGUAAAAUUAUCUUUUGUUAGUCAAAAGUUGAUUUUUUUUUCUUUAGGUAUAAGAUAAGAACAUCUAGAAAGAACAUCAAAUAAACCUUAUUAUUUUCUUGGCUUAUAAGUGAUAUUGAACUCAAAUCUUGACAAAGACAUGCUCCAAUAAUCUUAGCGAUGAUUCAAAAUAUGUGCUGACAUGAAAUACUCGAGGUUCUUGUGAUCCAUAUAUAUGAUGACUGAAUUUGAAGCGCCUUCUAAAUAAUGAUGCCAUUCUUGAAAAGAAUCCACAAUUGCAAGAAAUUUCUUGUUGUGGAUUUCAUAUUUAAACUUGGUUGCUUAAGAUUUUCUUGAAUGAAAAGUUAUUAGAUGAAGUUUGUCAUUUUCUCUUAUUUGUGAUAAGACUGUACUCAAGGUAAAGUAAAAUGCAUCUGUCUCUAUAAAAAAUGCUUUAAAGAAGUUAAUGCAAUACAAGAUUAGUGCAGAAGCAAAAGCUUUCUUAAAAGCUUCAAAUAAUGCUUUUGCUUCUUUAUUCCACUUGAGCUUAUUUUUACAAGUUAAGCAUGUAACUGACAUUGCAAUUUGAGAAAAGUUCUUGAUGAAGAUUUAAUAAUAAUUAGCAAAUCUCAAAAAGCAUUGUAUAUCUUUUAUUAUUUUUGAAAUCUUCCAAUCUAUGAUUGUAUGAAUUUUUUUAGGAUCCAUCAUUAGACCAUUGUUUGAAAUGAUGUAUCUUAAGAAGUCAACUUGAGUAGUGUAGAAUACACACUUUUUCAACUUGGCGUACAAUCUUACAUCUCUAAGUUUUUGUAAUAUACGAUAAAUAUAAAUUUCAUAUUUUUCUACAUUCUUAGAAUAGAUUAAAAUGUUGUCUAAGUAACAAACGAUUAAAUGAGCUAGAAACUCACAAAAGACAUCAUUCAUAAGAUGUUGAAAAGCAGCUGGUGCAUUUGUGAGUACAAAAGGCAUGACAUUAUAUUCAAAGUAUCUAUAACUUAUUUGAAAUUUAGUCUUCCAUUCAUGUCUUUCUUUAAUGUAAAUUAGAUUGUAUGCUUGUCAUAGAUCUAUUUUUGUAUAGAUCAUAGCUUGGUUUAAUUCAUAAAGAAGUCCAAAUAACAAAGGCAUAGGAUAUCUAUUCUUGAUAGUAAUCUUGUUGAGUCCUUGAUAAUCCAUGGACAUUUAUAAUGUUCUAUCUUUUUUCUUUACAAAUAAGAUAGGAGCUCUUACAUGAGAUUUUGAAUGGCAUAUGAAAUUCUUAGCCAAGUUCUCAUCAAUGUACUUCUUGAGUUCAGCCAACUCAUUUUGUGAUAAACUAUAGAUUUGACCAAAUGGUGGCUGAGUUCCUUCUUUAAGAUCAAUUAUGCAAUCAUAUGGAUGAUACUCUAAGGGAAUAUUUGUAUUCUUCUUCUUAAAAAUAUCUUAAAAAUCUUGAUAUUGAUUUAGAAUUUUAUUUGAAAUCUUUCCAUUAUUUAAAAUAGAUGUGGCAUAAAUAACAAAAGAUGAUCUUUCUUUUACAGAAUGUAAAAAAACUUUUGUACCUACAACUAUAGGUUUGGCUAUACUAGACUUAAGGCUUUCUAUUGGAUUAGAAAAACUCUCAAUGAUAUUUGAAGAAAAGUUAAGUUUACAAGAAAUCCAAUCUAUCACAUGAUUACACUUUUUUAGCCACGAUAAAUCUAAAAUGAUUGGAUUAGAGGGAGAUCUAAUUAUAUUAAAAAUUACGUGACUAUUAUGACCAUUUAUUACUACAUCUAUAGGAAGUAUUUCAUAAAUAACAUCUCCAAAAGAUAAUAGAUGAUCGUCUAUAACUUCUACGUGCAUGGAUUUAGUUUUUUGUACUAACUGUAUAUUAUGACUUUUAAUAAAUUCUUCAUCUAAAAAACAAGCUGAGGCUCUUGAAUCUAUUAAGGUAGAUGCUUUGUGAUUAUUAAAUCUUAAAUAAACAUCUAUUAUAAAAUAAGGAGAGAGUUUUGAAGAGAGAAUAGGACCUUCAUUAGAAAUUGUAUAAGAUUCCAAUUGCACAAUUCUUAUUAUAGCUGGUCAAAUUUGUUUUUCAACAUGUUUUCAUCUUCGAUAGCAAUACUCCUCAUUUUGUAGUUGUAUCAUUUCAUUGGACAAUAUUGAGUAUUAUGUUUACCUUCUCUAUAAUAUAAACAUAGUCUUUUUUGACAAUGACGAGUAAUUUCUUGCUCAAAAAGAAGUUUAAAACGUAUUGCUUCAAUUUGCAUGUCUUCUACUUUCAAAUACUCAGAUUGAGAAGUUGUUGGUGUCGUCAUUGAAUUAUAAUAACAUUGAGAUAUUCUUAUGUGAUUAUUAGAUCAAAACUCAAAAAGUCAAUUGUCACAUUUCACAACAAAGUCAAUUACUUGACUCAAUGUUUAGGGAUAAGGUAAAUUGAACAUCAAUUUCUUUAUUUCAUAUUGUAAUCCGUAGAAAAAUUAUUUGAUAAGUGUUGCAUCAUCCCACUUGAUAUCUGUCAUGAAUUGUCAAAAUUCUAAAGUAUAUAAUGUGAUUGAUUGAUUGUCUUGUUGCAAGAUAUGAAUUUUAAUAGUUGCAACACGGAUUGCAUCAUGUUCUCCAUACAUAGAUUGAAACUCCGCUAAGAAUGCUUCCAAAUUAUCCAAUAUUGGAUCAUGUUGUUCAAGAAAUGAUGAAAACCAUGAUAAAGGAGAACUUGAAAGUAGGGUUUCAAUAAACACGACUUGUGAUGCUUGAGUUAGAUAAAUUUGAGGUUGUAGUUCAAUUACUAGUUGUACGUGAUUGAUGAAUCCUCAAAACUUAGAUCUUGUACUAUCAAACUUCUUAAGCAAUCAAAUUUUUGGUUCUUUGAAACUUGAAUGAUGUUCUAUUGUAGGAGCAGUAGUAUAGCUUAGUAUAGAUGUUGAAGCAACUUCAAUCAUCUCUAUAUCUUCAUUGCCUCAUAAUCUUGUUGCUUCUUGUGGUAGUAGAUUGAGUUGAUGCAUUGCAAGCAUUAACUCUCUUAUUUGCUCUGUAUUUUGAGCCAUUGCACUCUUCAUUUUACUAAGCUCUGCCAUGCUAGCAUAAUAAAAAGAAAGGUGUCUAUUCUCAUAAAAUAAAAUACUCAAGAAUCAAGAAAAGGAUUCAAAAAUCUUUUAUGACUUUAUUUCAUUUCUAAAAGUAUUUACAACUAUAUUUGGAGAAAAAGAUUAAGAUAGAGUAGCAAAAAUCAAGAUCUUAUCUUUACAACAAAGAUCAUAAUCAGCUACUAUAUAUAUUACUAAAUUCCAAAACCUUCUUUGUGACGUGGACUAAAAUGAAAAAGUCCUUACCAAUCAAUUCUGAUAUGGAAUAAAAGAUAACAUCAAAUAUUUGUUAUUAAUAAUAUUGAAAGAUUUUUUUUUAAAAUAAUUUAUUCCUCAAGCUAUUACAUGUGAUAAUCUACUACUUAAAAGACAUUAAGAAUAAAGAUUUGGCUGAAAAAGAAAAAAUCAAGUAAUGACAACAAUUCUCAAGUUUUCAAAAACCUAUUCAUGAAAACUAAAAUCCAUGCAAAUUGAUAUGAUACACUUUAAAUCCUUCACAAAGUAGGAAAAGACUUAAUAUUAUUAAGGAUAUUUAUGCUUAAAUUAUAGAGAAGCUAAGUAUAUUACUCAAUAUUAUUUAAAAAAGUAACACAAUUACAUAAUAAAGAACAUGGUUGUCAAAGAAGAAAAUGUAUCAAAAAAUGAAUUUCUUUAGUUACAACAAGAAUUAUGUAACUAGAAUCAUAUGCAACACUUAAUAAUAUUUUUUUUCUUUUUAAAUUCCUUAUCUUAUUUUAUAAUAGAUAUAUAUAUUUAAGAUUUAAAAAUCACAAAGUAUAUUCAAGAGCCUUAGAUUAUUUUAUGGAUGAAGUCUUUGUGAAAAAAUAAGAAAUAUCUUUAGUCAAGAAAACUAAAUCCCUACAUGUAGAAGACAUAGAUGGUCAUUUUUUUUCUCUUUUGGAGAUAUUAUCCAUAAGAUUGUUCCUUAAGAUGUAGUAAUUAAAUAUCAUAGUAGCGUAGUAAUACUUAAUGUAAUAAGAACUUCUUCUAGUUCAAUUAUUUUAAGAUUAUUAUGGUAAAAAAAAUAUAACCUUCAAAUAGAUUAGAUUUUUUGUAACCUUAUCUUUUUUUGUAAUUUAAUUUUUUUUUAAUUAGUGAAGUAAAAAUAAAUAAGUUCAGUACAUUCAAAUCCUUAUUAGUAGAUGUGAUUGUAUCAAAGAAAGAAAUCUUCAAUAUACUCUUGUGUCACUAAAAAAAACUAAAAAUUCACUCAAAGAAAGUAAAAUAUUAAAUUAAAAUGACUAUUAUCAAAGACAAGUAAAUUAGAAAGUCUUAAAACAAGACUAAGGACUAAAAAAACAUUGACAAGAGUGAAGAAGGCUUCAUUCUUGCCUUCAUAUAUAUUCUUAAUUAGAAACUAUGUGGCAUUGUUAUGUAGGACCUCCAAAAUGUAUUGACUUUACAAAAUACGUAUCUUAACUUGUAAGGUAAGUUUUUUUAUAUAUGCACCACAUAAUUAGCUUGUUUUGUAAGUUAUCAACAUGUGAUUAACUUGUUGACCAAGUUUCUAAACUUGUAAUUAACUACAAAUAUAUGUAAAGUCAAAGUAACAUCUAUGAAGUUUUUCUAAAAAAUAUUAUGAAAUAAAUUUAUUUUUAUUUAUUCUUAUUUAAUUAUAUAGAUAAAUAUUAGAAUAAAUAUGUAUUUUUGUGAUAUUUUUUCUCCUUCUAAAGAUGAAUUCGACAAGAAAUAGUCAUUAUAUAUUAAAAAAACUUCAAGAUGUAACAAAUUGUAUUUGCUAUAUACUUUGAUCUUUGUUUUCUUCAAAGGUGGUUGAUAGGUAAUUUUAACCAUUGAUAGUAUCUCAUACCAUGAUAGAAAGAUUAUCUUGUUAUUUGAUUAUUAUUGAGGCUUUUGCAACUUCUUUCAAUUAAAAUAUUUAAAAUAUCAUUAGAAGUCAUUUCAAUCUCUAAUAAAAUUAUCAAACAUCAAGAGUCUUUUCUAAGGUCGUGAUAUCAACUAUAUUGUAUCUUGCUAUUUUCUUGAAGAAGGAUAUGUUAUUUUUGAGGAUCUUCAUUUUGAUUAUGUUAUCUUGAAGGUUGUGACAAUGAUAAUAUUUUAUCAAAUAAGUCAACAAGUGAUAGCUCUUAAGUUGAAUUUGUUAGUUGUUGGUUCUUCAUCUCUUUACCGUUACAAAUGCACAAAAGUACCAAACAAGAGUAGAAGGUAGAAUGCUAGCUUUUCAAGAUUUUAUUUAUUUUAUAAUAAAGAUUUACUAUUAUUUAUCUUGAUUUUGAUACAUGUCAUCAAUAAAAAAUCUCAAAUUUUUUUAUUGCAUUUAUAAGACUCUUUGCUGCUUCUAUGUAUAUUCACUAAUAUCAUAUCUAUACCAAUAAAGAAGAUAUUCUAACCUAUUUUGGCAUAGCCUUAAAUGUAAGACUUCUUCCAUUUUUAAUAUCUUGAAAAGAGUUCUCUAAAAUCUUGAUAUAAAUUAAGCUCUUUUAUUCAAUAUAAUAUCUUUGAUAUUUCAUGAUAGCAAUAGAUGUUGUUAGAAAAAAACUUAGUCAUUUUUUCACUUGUGAUAGAUUUUGUACAUAUAAACAAUCUACUAUCACAAAUAUAGAAUCAUACAAAUCUAAGAUUAGAAGAUCUAUGAUAAAAUCCAUAGAAAUAAAAGACCAUAGUUGUUCUAGAAUGGAUAUUGGUUGAAAAAGCCCUCAAGAUCAAUGACAAGGAGUUUUGAAAUUUGAAAAAAUAUUAUAUAAUUUUAUGAAGUCUUUGACUACCUUCUACAUUUGAGGCUACCAAAAAUCUCUAAAUAUUAGCCCCAAAGUCUUGUUGUAUCCAAAAUAUCCGAUUGCUAGAAAGUCAUAACAAGCUUGAAGAAUACUUAAUUGUGUCUUGCCUUUUAGAAUGUAUAAUCGCCCUUGAAGUAGAAUAGAUUAUUCUUAAACUUGAACUUAGAAAUAUUAUGAAAUUUAGAAGAAUUAUUCUUGAUAUCAUGAAUAAGAAUAUUUAAAGACAUACUUGAUUGAAUUUGCGUGAUAAAGGUUGAAUCAAUAAUCAAUGUUGAUUUUAUUGCUUGAAGAUGAAAAUACUUUGGCUUCAAGAGAAUUUUUCUUUAUUGAUUAAAAGCUACAUUUUCUUCUUUUGGUGUAAGAUAAGAACAUCUAGAAAGAGAAUUUUAUAAACCUUGUUAUUUUUUGGAUGUAUAGAUGAUCUUAAAAUCAAAUCUUAAUAAAGACAUAUUCCAAUGGACUUAGCGAUAAUUCAAAUCAUGUUUUGAAAAGAAAUACUUGAAGUUCUUGUGAUUUUUAUAUACAAUAAUUGAACUAGAAGUACCUUCUAAAUAAUGAUAUAAUUUUUGAAAUGAUCCACAAUUAUAAUAAGCUCUUUAUUAUAAAUCUUGUAGCUAAUCUUAUUUGCUAAAAAUUUCUUGAAAUAAAAAAUAAUGUGGUAGAGCUUAUCAUUUGCUUCUAUUUGUAAUAUAAUAACAUCCAUAGCAAAUUCCAAUAUGUCUGUUUUCAUUAAAAAUAACUUAAAAAAAUUGAUAUGAUAUAAAAUAGGCACAAAAAUAAAUGUUGUCUUUAAGGCUUUUUAAGUUAUUUUUUCUUUUUUGCUCCACUCAAGUUUGGCUUUACAUGUCAAAUGUAUAAAAAAGAGGUCCAAUUUGAGAAUUUUUUUUGAUGAAGAUUUAAUAAUAAUUAACAAAUCCCAAAAAAUAUUACAAAUCUCUAACUAUUUUUGAAACCUUCCAAUCCAUGAUAGUUUGAACCUUCUAAAGGUCCUUGUUUUAGCUUAAAAAAAUUAUUUUCCAACAAAUUGUCUUCAUUUAGCUAUGAUAUUUCUCAUUCUGUGAUUAUAUUGCUUCUUUGAAAAAUAUUGAGCAGUGUGCUUAGCUUUUCCACAAUAUAAGUAUUAAUUCUUUAGAUGGCAUGGAUUCUUUUCUUGCUCAAUGAGAAAUUUAAAAGGUACUAUAUCAAUUUUUAUUGGUUUUGGCCUUGAUGAAUAAGUUUUUGAAAACUUGGAAAUUACUUUUAUUACUUGGCUUAUUUUUUUUAACCAAGUCUUUGUUCUUGAUGCCUUUUAAAAAAUUAAUUGUAGUAUGCAAUGGCUUGAGCAAUAAAUUGUUCGAAAGAUUUUGCUUUUGAUAUUAUCAAUAACAAAUCUUUGAUAUUAUCUUUCAAUUCAUAUCAAAAUUGAUUAAUAAAGGCUUAUCAUUUCAAUUCACGUUGCAAUCAAGGUUUUGGAAUUCAACAACAUAUAUAGUAGGUAAUUAUGAUUCUUCUCAUAAAAAUAAAAACUUUAUCUCUGAUAUUCUUUUCCAAUUACUUUCUAUGAAUGUGGCCACUAACACUUCUAGGAAUGAAUUCAAAUCACAAAAAAGUUGUGAAUCAUUUUUUAUCAAAAGUGCAAAUUAAGAGUGAGCACUUUUAGAUAGAAUUUUUAACUUUCAUUGUGAAUCUUGUGGUUGUAUGUGCAUGGAUUUUGAGUAGUUAAUGAUGGUCGUUAGAUUUUAAAACAUACUUUAUUAUGGUAGAUAGCUCCCUCGGCCUUCCAAAAAUACCAAGGGUUUCAAGAGCCUCGGAUUUUCCUCAAUCAGUCAUUCAGAUUAUAUAGUUUCAAUGUAAUUUUUUUUAGCUUUGGUGUUAGCUUUACAAAGAAGUAUUUUUUUCUUUUUUUAGAAUAAGGACGAAUUUUUGGUGAAUUUUUAAGUGUGAGGGGGGUUGGUUGCUUGGCAGUUUAAAUCACCCAACUUUGUCAAGGCAUUUCUCAGUGUUUUCGAAUUAAAUUAUUGUGAAACUUUAGAAAAUAAGUGCAUCUCCAAGCUGAGCUUUUAGUGGCAUAAUUUUUAUCAAAUUUGAAGACGAAGUGAUUUUUUAAUGAAUUUCCAAGUGGAGAGAGGUUGCCUGCCAUGGCAGUCUUAGUUACUCAACAUUGGGAGAGCAUUUCUCACGGCUCAAAUACUAGUUUGAGUUGAAAGUUAUUGGAUCAAGAGUAUCUUCAAGCUCACUUUGAUUAAACCAAAAAAUCAUUCAAUUUGGAGUUUAUCAAAAAUUUUGGCAAUUUUUGAUGUAGAAGGGGGUUGCUGCCUCAAUUCUUAGGCAUUAUUAAGGUAUCUUCGUUUUUUCCCCUCUUUAGUUCCAUUUUUACUUUUAUUUUUUCAAUAACUUAUAAUUUCCAUAUGUCAACUCUUAACCUUUAAUUUACUUUAAUUUUAACUUAAUAUUUAUUUUAAAUUUUACCUUAAUUUUUUAACUUAAUUUUUUAUUUUUACUUUUAAUUUUUACUUAAGAUUUUACCUUUACUAUGGAUUAAGGAUAAUAAUUUAAUUUAUUAUUUUUACCAUAAAUUAUUUAAGAAAUAAUAAAAUAAUAAAAUAAUAAUAAAAAAACCUAAAAAAUAAAAAAUAAAAAUAUAAAACAAAAUAAAAAAUUAAAACUAAAUUAUUUAAUUAGAAAUAAAAGAAAUAAUUUUUUUGCAUGAAGUUUAAGGAGUGAAUUAUCAUUGUGAAUGUAAAUAAUGUUAAGAAAUUUGAUUAACAACUUGGUGUUUUAAGAAGAAAAGUAAUGAUUGAAUUAGAAUUUAAAUAAUAGCUUUACUUUUAAAUUCACAUAGUUUUAUUCACUUAUUGUGAGUUAGAAUAAACUUCCAAUUAAUGGAGGUUUAUUUUAGCUCACAAUCCAUCAAGAUAUUAGAAGAGAUGCAAUCUUAGAUAGAGCUUAAUUUAUUGUAAAAACCCUCAAAAUUUUGAUCUUGUUCUAUCAAACUUUUUGGACAUACUAAUCCUUGACUCUAUCAUAGUUGUAGGAGAAAAACUUCUUGGAUUUAGUUGUGAGGUUGAUUUACUUUCUUCCUUCAUUUAUAUAACUUUUCGAUAUAGAUUUUGAACUUCUUCUAUAGAAGUAUGAUUAGUAUUUCCAUACUUGGUACUCGUGAUGCAUGAAAUUUCUACCUUAAGAAUAUUAAUAAGUUCUUGAAAAUUAGUAAUAGUUGCAAAUCUAUUCUUAAUUUUGUCAAGUAUAAAAUUCAUGAUGUUUCCUUCUCUUUCAAACAACUUAACAAAACUACGAGUCAAAUUAAAAGAGGGUAAUUUGUAACCUCUAAAAUCAAAUAAAAAUUUCUACAAAAAAAAAUUAAUCCGAUUUUUUAAAGAAAGAUAGUAAUAUUAAAAAACUACAUAGUUUAUUUAAAGAUAGAUAAUCUAUAACCUUCAAAAUAGAAUAAUAGAAAUAAAAUAAUUCACUUAUUUUUAAAACAAGACAAGAAUAAUGAAUUAGUACUCAUGUCAAAACUAUUAAGGACAUAAAGCUUAAAAAAAAAAAUCCUUAAUACACUCUUGUGUCAUUCAAAAGAAUUACAAAGUUAUUUGAAGAUGGUAUAAUAUUAAAGUAGAAUGACUAUUGCCAAAGAUAAAAAGACUAGAAAGUCUUGAAACAAGACUAAGGACUAGUAAGGCAUUGAUAAGAGUAAAAAAGGCUUUACUCUUACAUUCAUAUAUACUCUUAACUAGGAACUACAUGGCGGUAUUUUAUAAGAGCUCUAAACGGUGUUGACUUUAUAAGAUACAUAUCUUAACUUAUAAGGCAAGUUUUUUAUAUGUCUACCAUAUAAUUAGUUUAUUCUGCAAGCUAUCAACAUGUGAUUACUAUUAACAAUGUUAAAAUAAGAAUAAGAUAUAAUUACUUUAAAUAAGUUAUUAAUGGUCAAAAUAUAAUAAAAAAAUUAAGGUUGCUUAUUAACGUGGCAGCUAGAUUAAGAAGAAUCUAGGAUUUAGUUGGAUGGAUGAAGAUAGUUGUAGAUGAAGUUCAAUUGUAAUAGAUAUAAAUUUUUCUUGUAAGUAAAGAAUAUUGGAAGAUAGAGGUAUCUUAUUCCACACUUCUCUUAGGUGCAAUCUUGUUGAUACUAUGUGAUAAUGCUUCUAUAUUAUUUCUUAUAAAGGACCAAUGGAAGAAUGGAAGAUUCUUUACAACAUCUAUGAGAGCAAGAAUUUAUUCAACAUCAUCUACACAAAGAGGAAAUUUUCCACUUGUAAGAUGGAAGAAGGUAAAGACCUUAUAACAUACAUCAACAAGGUGAAGGUACUUGCAAAUCAACUUGUAAUUAUAAAUAAGCCUUUAGAAGAUGUAGAUGUUGUCAUGACCCUAUUCAUGAGCUUGCCAAAAUCUUAAAACUACCUCAUUGUGGCUUUGAAAUUCAUCAAGAUGAAAGAAUUCAUAAUAGACUACGUGAUAGCAAAACUUAGCUAUGAAGUGACUAAAAAGAAAAAAAAAGAGCCUCAAACUGAAGAUUCAACAUUCUAUUCAUAACAAGAUAAAGGCAACUAUUCAAAUCAAUGAAGUAAUAUCAAAACUUGCUUCAUUUGUAGCAAAAUAUGACAUUUUACUCAAAAUUGCUACAAAGGCAAAAAGAUAGAAAGAGAGAAUAUAAAUAAUAUUCAAGAUGAGUUUGGAGAAGAAGAUUAUGCAUUCACAACAGCAAAUAGCACCUCCAUAGUUGCUAUAUCAAGAUAGAUUUUGGAUUAAGGCCGUUCCAAAUAUAUGACAUCUUAUAAGUGUUAUUUGAUAUUUAUGAGUCUAUUCCAGCAUCAAAUGUGAUUUUGUCAAAUAGUAGCACAUGUAAAGCCAUUGGAAUUAAUUCUAUUAUAGUGGAUGUAUUUAUAAAUGGAAAAAUCAAUAGAAUCAAAUUUAAAAAUAUCCUUUAUGUAUCUAAGAUAAAAUAAAACCUUUUUUUGCUGAGUAAACUUGUAAUGGAAGGUUUUGUCAAGAUAUACAAGCUGAAUUUAAUAAAAAUGGAUAUUUUGUAAGAAUAUUGUAUGAAAAUAUAGUUGUUAAAGACUCUAGAGAAGAAAAUUUGUACUACCUCAAGUGUAAGAUAGUCAAUAGAGAGGAAGUAGUUGUAUUUAUUGAAUUUACAUCAAAUCAAGAGAAGUUGAAUAUAUGGCAUCGUUGCUUUGGCCAUUUGAAUGUGAAGAGUAUGGCAAGGCUUAAGUCUAUAGUAAAUGGCUUAGAUCUUGGCAAAACAAGCCAAAAUAUAAUACAACUCAUAUAUAAAAGAUGCAUAUAAGACAAACAAUAAAGAGCUUUAUUUCUAAGUGGUGUAGCAACAUCUACUACAAAGUUAUUGGAGAUUAUCUACUUUGUCUAAAAAGUGUUCUUGCAUCAAUGAUAUUAUAACAAGCUUGAAGUAGGAAACAACCUUAUAUUUUACAUAUGAUGACCUUUGGAUGUAUUGCAUAUAUAAAGAUACUAGAUUAUAUGAAAUAUUGAUGGUAAGUAUAUUGAAGAAGUGUUGAAACGAUUCAAUAUAGAAGAAUGCAAGUCUAUUGAAAUACCUUUGGAGGCCAAUUUAAAGUUGAUGAAACUCAUGGAUGAAGAUUAUGCAUAAGUUGACAAUGAAAUGCAAAGUAUUCUAUACAAAGUAGCAAUAGACUCAUUUAUAUAUGCAAUGGUGGCCACAAGCAUGGACCUUGCAAUUAGUAUGAGUGUUGUGAGCUUAUACAUGUCUAAAGCAUGACCUUUGUACUAGAUAAUAAUAAAGAAGAUAUUGAAAAAUUUAAAAGGUAUAAAAGACUUGAAGUUAUAUAUUGAUGGUAAAAACAUUGAUUUGUAAGGUUAUUGUGAUAUAGAUUGGACAGGAGAUGCAAAUGAAAGAAGAUUUCUAAUAGGAUAUUUAUUCUUUAUUGAAAUAAGAGCCAUUUCAUAGAAUUGCAAGAAACAAUCUACUAUUCCAAGAUCAACUAUAGAAGUUGAAUACAUAGAAGCAAAUUAUUAUACAAUGAAAACAUGAUAGAUAAGACAACUCUUAGAAGACAUUAGACUAGUAUAAUUAGAAGCAAUUCUAAUAAUGUGUGGCAGUCAAAGAUAUCUUGUAUUUUCUAAGAUUCCAAAAUAUCAUUCAAGAAUCAAAUAUAUUGAUAUUUAAUAUCAUUUUAUAUCAAAAAAAAAUUAAAGAUGUAAUAAUAGGUAUCAAAUAUUAUACUACAAAAGACAUGCUUCUUGAUCUUCUUACAAAAGCAUUGAUUAAGGAUAAACACCACAAAUUGAUAGAGGCAUUAGGCUUGAAAGUCUUUUGAAAAUUAACAAAGUGAGAGCGUUGAAGAUAUUAAAAUAAGAAUAAGAUAUAAUUACCUUAGAUAAGUUGUUAAUGGUUAAAGAGUAGUAAAAAAGUAAAGAUUACAUACUAAUGUGGUGGCUAAGUUAAUAAAAAUCUAAAAUUAAAUUAGAUGGAUGAAGAUGGUUAUAAAUGAAGUUUAACUACAAUAGAUGUAAACUCUUCCUAUAAAUAAAGAGUGUUGGAAGAAAGAAGAAUCUUACUCUAAGCUUCUCUUAGAUGUAAUCUUAUUAAUGCUAAGUAUUAUAGCUUUUAACUUCUUUUUUUUCAAUAGUUAACUUAUUAACCAAUUUUUUAACCUACCAAUCAAUUACAAACACAUAUAAAGUCAAAAUAGCAUUUGUAAAGUUUUUCUAAAAAAUAUUAUGAAAUAAAUUUAUUUUUAUAUAUUUUUAUUUAAUUAUAUAAAUAAAUAUUAUAUUAAAUAUGUAUGUUCAUGAUAGAUAGCUUUCAUAUAUAUGACAAAAGAAGGAUUAUCUUUUAUUAUAUAUGCCAUGCUUAUUUUUAAUGGUCAAAAGACAUCAAAUAGUAUUCUUAGCUAGUAUCAAGAUUUUUAGGACAUUUUUGAAAAGAAAAAUGUAAAUAUUCUUUUAAAACAUCAAUUCCAUAAUUGUUCAAUUAAUCUUCAAGAAAAAGCUCAAUCACCAUUUGGACCAAUCUUCAGCUUAUUGCAAAAUAGGUUGAUUGUACUAAAGAAGUAUAUUGAUAAGAACUUAGGUAAAAACUUCAUAUGCUAUUCAAAAUCUCCAAUAGGAGCUUCUAUCUUGUUUUUAAAGAAAAAAUAUGGAUCUCUAUAGAUGUACGUAGACUAUAGAGGACUUAAUAAGAUCACUAUUAAAAAUAAAUAUCCUUUACUUUUGAUUUUAAGACUUCUUGAUCAACUCAAUUAAACAAAGAUCUAUACAAAAAUAGAUCUAUGAAAAAUGUACAACUUGGUCUACAUUAAAAAAGGAGAUGAAUGGAAAACUAAUUUUUAAACUAGGUAUAGACAUUUUGAAUAUAAUGUCAUGCCUUUUAGAUUAACAAAUACACUAGCCAUUUUUCAACAUCUUAUAAAUAAUAUUUUUUGUAAGUUUCUUAAUAAUUGCUAUAUCUGUUAUUUAGAUGUUAUUUGAAUCAAUUUUAAGAACACAAAAGAACAUGAAUUUUAUGUUUGUCAUAUAUUACAAAAACUUUAAAAUGUAAGAUUAUAUGCCAAGAUAAAAAAAUAUAUAUUCUACAUUAUUCAAGUUGACUUUUUAAGAUAUAUUAUUUCCAAAAAAGAUCUUAUAAUGGAUGCUAAGAAGGUUCAAAUUAUUAUAGAUUAGAAGAUUUUAAAAAUAAUUAGAGGUGUAUAAUAUUUUAUAAAAUUUACGAAUUACUAUUGAAUCUUCAUCAAGAACUUUUUUUAAGUUGCAACUAUUCUUAUAAGUUUGAUUUGUAAGGAAAAACUUAAUUGGAGUAAAGAAAUUGAAGUAUCUUUUGAAGCAUUGAAGAUAAUAUUUAUUUCUAUACCAAUUUAUAUAAUGUUAAUUUUUCUAAGGUAUUUUUUAUGGAAAUAAAUACAUCAGACUUUGUUAUGAGUGUGGUUUUGUUACAUACAAGAGUAGAUGAUAUGUUCUAAUUGAUGGAUUUUUAUUUUAUGAAAUUUUUAGCAGCUAAGAUUAAUUACAAGAUUUGUGAAAAUUUGUUUUUUUUUUGCAAUUGUGGAUUUAUUUUAAAAGUGGUGUUAUUAUCUAAAAGGUACUUUUAAUCUAAUCAUCAUAUAUAAAAAUGACAAGAACCUUGAAUACUUCAUAUUGACACAUAUUUUGAAUUAUUACCAAGCCCAUUAAAGCAUGUUCUUAUCAAGAUUUGAUUUUAAGAUCACUUAUUGAUUUAAAAAAUAACAAGGUUUGUUAGAUAUUAAUUCCACAUAUUCUUAUUUUGUACCAAAAAAAGGAAAUGUAGCUUUUAAUUAAUAAAAAAUGAUUCUCAUAAAGUAAGAGCAUUUUCAUCUUCAAGCAAUGAAAUCAAUAUUAAUUGUUGAUUCAAUCUUUUUCAAAUAAGUUUAAUAAAGUAUGUCCUUUGAUUUUCUUGUUCGUAAUAUUAAGGAUAAUUAUUUUAAGUCUUAUGAUACUUCUAAGUUUUAGUUUAAGAAUAAUCUACUCUAUUUUGAAAGAUGAUUAUAUAUUCUAAAAGCAAAGUAUAAUUACAUGUUCUUCAAGCUAAUCACAAAUUUUCAACAAUCAGAUAUUUUAGACAUAAUAAGAUUUUAGAGCUAACAUUUAAAGAUUUUUGAUAGCUUCAUAUAUAGAAGGAAAUAAAAGAAUUUUUAUAAAUAUGUGAUAUUUGUUUAAGAUCAAAAAUUUCUCAUCAUUGAUCUUAUAGACUUUUUUAGCCAUUUUCUAUUUCAAAAUAAUUAUGAUCUCUUGUUUCUAUGGACUUUAUCAUAAUUUUUUAAUUUCAAUUUUAUAUGAUUUUAUAUUCAUGAUAGUAGAUUUUUUUACCAAGAUGGUAUAUUUUGUAUUAUGUUCAAAAUCUAUUAGAGAUAAAGAAACAAUUAAGCUUCUUCUAAACAAUAUUUAUUGCUAUUAUGAAUUGUUAUCAAGGACAUGAAUCUCAAAGAAAGAAAUCUUCAAUAUACUCUUAGGUCAUUUAAAAGAACUAGAAAGUCACUCAAAGAUGAUAUACUAUUAAAUUAGAAUGACUAUUAUGAAAAAUAAGAAGAUUAAAAAGUCUUGAAACAAGACUAAGGACUAAAAAGGUAUUGACAAGAAUAAAGAAGGCUUCACUUUUUUCUCUAUAUAUAUUCUUAACUAGAAGCUAUAUAGAAAUAUCCUAUGUAACCUUCAAAACAUGUUGACUUUACAAGAUAUGUAUCUUAACUUACAAGACAAGUUUUCUAUAUGUAUGCUAAAAAGUUAGCUUAUUUUAUAAGCUAUCAAUACAUGAUUAAUUUUUUGACUAAGUUUCUAAUUUACUCAUCAACUAUAAAUACAUGUAAAGUCAAAGUAAUGUUUAUGAAGCUUCUAAGAAGCUUUUCUAAAAAAUAUUAUGAAAUAAAUUUAUUUUUAUUUACUUCUAUUUAAUCAUAUAGCUAAAUAUUAGAGCAAGUAUAUAUAUCCAUGACAUUACCUCCCCUUCUAGAGACAAAUUCUACAAGGAGCAAUUAUCAUCUUUUAUAGAACUUCAUCUUGAUUUUGAUAGAUAUUGUCAAUAAAAAUUUUCAACCUUCUUUGCUAUAUUUGUAAGUUUUUUUUGCUGGCUCUUAUAUACAUUCACUAAUAUCAUAUAUAUCCCAAUGAAUAAAAUAUUCUAAUCUAUUUUGGCGUUGCCUUAAAUCUAAGACUUCUUUUACAUCAAAUUCUUGAUUAUUAUCUACUUUUAUAGGAAAAGGUGGCAUUUGUCUUCUUUUGAGAUAUUCAUUGUCUUAUAUGGCUCAAAAAGAGACACAUGGAAUAUGAUGUUGUAUUGUGAUUUGGCUACUAUGAGAAAAUAAUAUAUAUAUAUAUAUAUAUAUAUAUAUUUAAUAUAUAGCUUACUAUACAAUGUAGUGAAAGCCAUGUUAUUAGAUUUUAAUUGGUUACAAAAUAUGAUUAGAUUACUACUUUGAAGUGAUUAGUUUGAAUAUACUAUUAUUGAAAUUGAUUUUAUAUUGAUAAUAGUUUUAUUUAUUUAGAACCAUUCUUAUUAGACAUUGGUAAAUCUUGAAAUCUUACUCUAUUUUUAUUAUUUCGUAUUUAGGGCAUAUAUUAUGUAACUCUUAUUAAAAAAAAGAUUAGAGAAGAUUUUUGAUAGCAAAAAAAAUAGUUAGAAAAUUUAUAUGGAUGAAUGGAGAUAAAUGAUAAAAAGCUUGAUUCUUAUUGGCCAAAAUUCAUGCCUAAUGGACUUCGAGGAGGUUGCUUGAGGCCUUAUUAAGAAUAAGGGUCACUCUUUUGAAGCCAUUUAAUCUCUGGAGGUUAAAAUCAAGAAGUUUAGGAUUUUGGCUAUGAUUUUGGUAUAAAUUUUAGGUGAUUUAGAAUUUUUAUGAAAGAGAUAUAAGUACUCAAAGUUAACGUAUUGGUUUUAUAGCUACUAUCACAUUUUUAGACAUAAUGCAAGUAUAUAGAAAUCAAUGAAAGAUUGACAACCAAUGUCGUAUUGUCAUUUAGCUACCAUGUAAAAAUAAUUUGAUUAUAUAUUUAAUGUAUAAUUUAUUUAAUAACAUGGACAAAUAUUAUGUGAAUCUUAUACAAAAAAAAUUGAAGAAAGAUUUUGGUAGCAAAAAGAGUGGUUAAGGCAUCUAUAUAGAUGAAUGGAGAUGGAUGAUUAAAUCUCCCUUCCUAUUGGUCAAAAAUCAUCUCCAAUGGGCUACAAGGAUACUACCCGAGGCCAUAUUAGGGAUUAAGGUUAGUCUUUUAGGAAGAUUUUCGAACAUUGGAGACUAAGGUUAAUAGAUUCAAGUUUUUGAUUAUGAUUUUGGCAAAAUUUUUGAAUCAUUUGGAGUUUUUAUCAAGGAGAUAUAGGCGCUCAAAGUCGAGGUGUUGAUUUUAUACUUGUUGUCUUUCUUUUGGAUAUAACACACACGUAUGGAAAGCAACUCAGGAUUGGUAAGUAGGGUUGGAGAGAACACUUUCUUAACUAUACUUUACAUAUACUACUUAAUGAAUUCUAAGCCGGAAUAAUAGAAAUAUUAGAAGUUGAAGUCAAUGCUUGGAAUCUAAAGAGAAGUAAGUGACUUGAAUUACUAAUGGUUGUGUUUUGAGCUAUAUCUUAUGCAACUUGACAAGAUUUUAGCUAAAAAUUUUCAAGAAUGUAUUUUUUCAUAUUACUAAACUUUAUAUAUAAGUUUUGUGGCAUUUGAGUGUUAGAUCAGUAAGAUAUGGUGAAAUCAAUAUAUGAAUGUUUUUAAAGGUGAUAUAUACCAAAUUUGCUAUUGAAUAGACAAUAUCUAGAGUUUGGUAAUAAAUUUAUGAUUGAUUUUUUGUGCAUAAAAAAAUAUUAUAUUAUAUUAUACAGAAGUUAAGAGUAUUGUCUUACUCCUCAAAAAUUUUGAACUCAAUCCAAUGGUUGGAUUGGAAAAAUCUGAGUGCUGAAGUUCUGUAAUUUUGAAGGGAUUAUUGUUAUUGGUUAUUGAUCACUGUUACUACUAUUGGUUAUUUUUACUACUAUUAAUUACUGUUACUAGUCAUUGAUUAUUGUUACUAGUUAUUAGUUAUUAUAAUUGGUUAUUUUUUAUUAUUAUUGGUUAUUAAUUAUUAUUACUACUAUUGGUUACUGUUAUUGGUUAUUAAUUAUUAUUACUACUAUUGGUUAUUAUUACUAGUUAUUAAUUAUUGUUACUAGUUAUUGGUUACUGUUACUGGUUAUUGAUUAUUGUUAGUGGUUAUUAGUUAUUGUUACUACUAUUGGUUAUUAUUAUUGGUUAUUGAUUACUAUUACUAGUAUUGGUUAUUGUUAUCAGUUAUUAUUAAUACUAUUGGUUAUUAUUACCAAAGCCAAUUACUAUUAUUAUCAUUGAUUAUUAUUACUAAAAUUACUAUAUUUAUGGAAUUUUAGUAAUUUUUUAGUGUUGCAAAUAAAAUUCAGGUUGAAUGAUUUUAAACGUAGUUACCAAUUAAAAGAUAGUUUGAUAAACUCAAGAAGUUGAAGGUGUAGUUAAGAAUAUAAAGACUUUUCUUGGAUUAUAUAAAUAAAAUUUAUGUACAAAAGCUUAUGAUAUAUAAAAGCUUUGUUUGGUUAAUUUAUGCAAUUUUUUUUUCUUAGUUGUUUGUUUUGAUCUUCCAUUGAAGAUAAAUUGGUUGUUGAGUAAGAAGCCAUUAAAUCAAAAAAGAGCUUUCUACAACUAGGUACUUAGUGUAUUUUCAGAUAGAAAAAUACGUACUUUGAUAUUGGAUUAAAGAGAAUAUUUUCUUAGAUAUACUUUCUACAUAUUGCUUGAUGAAUUUAAAGUUAAGAUGAAGAAAAUAUAUGAAGUUAUUGAUGGCUAAUAAGAUCUAUCAAAUAUCUUCAAAGACAACAAAGAUUAGAGUAUGUUGUAAAUAUAAUUUGCUACAUCUAAGACUUCUUGAACAUAUGAUCACUAGUCCUUAUGGAACUCGUGCCUAAAAGAGAGGGUAAUGUUAUGAAUAUAUAUCUACUAUAAUUAUUAUUCAAAUAAUAUGAAUAAAUAGAAGUAGGUAAAAAUAGAUUAAUUUUAUAAUAGUUAUUGAAGAAGCUUUUCAAAAGCUUCCUAGAUGCUAUUUUGACUUUAUAUGUAUUUGUAGUUGAUUGAUUGUCAAGGACAAGAACUCAAUGAAAAAACAAUUCAGACAAGCGAGCCUUCACUCAAAGAGAGGUAACAAAAUAUAUAUAAACAAGUAUAUAUAUUGAAAUAGAAACUGGAAUGGCUAUUGCCAAAAGACAAGAAAACUAGAGACCCUUGAAACUAGACUAGAAGCAAGAAAGGAGUUGACAAGAGUGAAGAAGCCUUCACUCUUGUCUCUAUAUAUACUAUCUAAUUAGGAGCUACGUGGCGACGUUCUAUAGGACCUCCAAUAUGUGUUGACUUUGUAGGACACAUGCCUUGACUUACAAGGCAAGUUUUUCUAUGUGUGGGCCACAUAGUUAGCUUGAUCUUCAAGCUAACAACAUGUGUGGCACAUGGCCAACUUGUUGACCACGUUUCUAAUCCAAAAAGUCAAUUAAAGACACCUAUGAAGUCAAAGCAGUGUCUAAGAAGUUUCUAAGAAGCUUCCAUAUUAAAUAUUAUAGAAUUAACUUAUUUUUUCUACUUUUACUUACUUCUACCUAUUUCUAUAUGUAAUUAUUAGCUUACAUGAUUAUGGCCGUGACAUUAUCCCCCCUUCUAGAGACGAGUUCCACGAGGAGCUGUCAUCAUAUGUUGAAGAAAUCUAUGAUGCGACGAAUUGUAUUCGCCACAUACUUUGAUCUCUGUUCUCUUCGAAGAUGAUUGAUAGGGCCUCUCAACCAUCGGUAGUGUCCCAUAUCAGGGUGGGAAGACCACCCAGUUAUUUGAUCAUUGUUGAGGCCUUCGUAACUUCCUUCAAAUAGAAUAUUCGGAACACCAUCAGGAGUUGUUCCUACCUCUAACAAAAUCACCAAACAUCGAGAGUCCCUUCCCAAAUCGUGAUACCAAACACGUUGUAUCUCACCAUCUAUUCAAGGAAGAACAUGUCGUUCUUGAAGAUCUUCAUCUCGAUUGCGUCGUCUUGAAGGUUGUGACAAUCGUAAUGUCUCGUCCGGCAGGUCAGCAAACGGAGGUUCUUGAGUUGAAUCCGCUGGUUGAUGGCUCUCUAUCUAAUUAGCAUCACAACUGCAAAGAAGUUACAAACAAGGAUAGGAAAUUGAAUGUUAUCUUGCCUCAAUCUUGUCUCUUUUAUAAGAGAGAUUUUCAUCUUGGUUUUGAUGGAUGUCGUUGAUGAAAAACUUUGACUUUAGCUGAUGCAUUUGCUAGAUUCCUAGAUGGCUCCCAUGUGCGUUCACUAAUAUCAUAUCCGCGCCAAUGAACAAGAUAUUCCAGCUUAUUUCGGCGCCGCCUUGAGUCUAAUAUCUCUUCCACCUCAAAUUCUUCAUUAUUAUCUACUUCUAUAGAAGGCGGUGGCAUUUGUCUUCUUCCUUGUAUAUCCACUGUCUUAUAUGGUUCAAGAAGAGACACGUGGAAUACAGGAUGGAUCUUCAUUGACUCCGGUAGAUGUAACCGAUAUGCAACUGGGUUGAUCUGUUCAGAAACAGAAAAGGGGCCAAGCCUACAAUAGUCCAACUUGUCACAAGGUCGAGUAGUCUUGAUAUUGCGACGAAGUAGCCAUACCUUAUCACCCACGUUGAUUUGUGGUUGCUCCUUACGAUAUAGAUCUACAUUUAUUUUUUGUCGUUCUUGAGCUUCCUUCAAUUGCGUCUUCAUUAUUGCAUGUAACUCUGACAACCGAUUUGCCAUAUCUUCUGCUGCAGGAUUAUCAACUUUUGAAAAAUCAAAAGUAUCAAGUCGUGGAUGAUAGCCAUAAUUGGCAAAGAAAGGUGUUUGUUCCAUGGAAGAAUGUACCGUAUUAUUAUAAGCAAAUUCUGCCAUUGGCAGAAAGGUUGUCCAAUCAUCUUGUUGAUAGUUGAUAGUACACCUUAAAUAUUGCUCCAAGACUUGGUUUACGCGCUCUGUUUGUCCAUCAGUUUGAGGAUGGAAAGCCGAAGAUAGUUUUAUGUCCACUUUUAAAAUCUUGAAAAGGAUCCUCCAAAAUCUUGACACAAAUUGAGUUCCCCUAUCCGAUAUGAUAUCUUUAGGUAAUCCAUGAUAGUGAUAGAUAUUUUCAAUGAAAAGCUUAGCUGUUUCUUCACCUGUGAUAGAUUUUGUACAUGGCACAAAAUGUGCCAUCUUGGUGAAACGAUCUACUAUCACAAAUAUAGAAUCAUAAGAUGUUGAGCUUGGAAGAUCUAUGAUGAAAUCCAUAGAAACAGAAGACCAUGGUUGUUCUGGGAUAGGUAAUGGCUGAAGAAGUCCGUAAGGUCGAUGACGAGGAAUUUUUGAUCUUGAACAAAUAUCACAUGAUUGUACAAAGUCUUUGACUGACUUCUACAUUUGUGGCCACCAAAAAUCUCUUGAUAUGAGUUCCAAAGUCUUAUUAUAUCCAAAGUGCCCUUCUGCUGGAAAGUCAUGACGUGCUUGAAGAACACGUAAACGUGCUUCUCCUUCUGGAACAUAUAGGCGUCCUUCAAAAUAUAAUAGAUUAUUCUUGAACUCGAACUUAGAAGGAUCAUGAGACUUGGAAGAAUUAUUCUCGAUAUCAUAAACAAGAGGGUCUGAGGACAUACUGGACUGGAUUUGCUUGAGAAAAGUUGAAUCAACCAUCAAUGUUGAUUUCAUUGCUCGGAGAUGAAAUUGCUCUAGUUUCAAGAGGACCGUUCGUUGUUGCUCAAAAGCUGCAUCUCCUUCUUUUGGUACAAAAUAAGAACGUCUAGAUAGGGCAUCGGACAAACCUUGUUGUUUUCCUGACUGAUAAGUGAUAAUGAACUCGAAUCUUGACAAAGACAUACUCCAACGAGCUUGACGCCGAUUCAACACGAGUGCUGACAUGAAAUACUCGAGGUUCUUGUGAUCUGUAUACACAAUGACUGGACUAGAAGCGCCUUGUAGAUAAUGACGCCAUUCUUGAAAGGAAUCCAUGAUCGCAAGAAGUUCUUUAUUGUGGAUCUCAUAAUUGAUCUUGGCUGUUGAGAAUUUUUUGGAAUGAAAAGCUAUCGGAUGAAGUUUGUCAUCUCAUCCCAUUUGUGAUAAAACUGCACCCAAGGCAAAAUUUGAUGCAUCUGUUUCCAUAAAAAAUGCCUUGGAAAAGUCAACAUGAUAUAAGACUGGUGCAGAGACAAACGAUGUCUUCAAGGCUUCAAAUGCUGCUUCCGCUUCUUGAUUCCAUUGGAAUUUAUCUUUACUAGUCAAGCAUGUAAGUGGAGCUGCAACUCGUGAGAAAUCUUUGAUGAAGAUCCAAUAGUAAUUGGCAAAUCCCAAGAAACAUUGGACAUCUCUUACUGUCCUUGGAAUCUUCCAAUCUAUGAUUGUUUGGACUUUCUUAGAAUCCAUCAUGAGACCAUCAUUUGAAAUGAUGUAUCCUAAAAAGUCAACUUGAGUAGUGUGAAAUAUACACUUUUCCAUCUUAGCGUACAAUCCUGCAUCUCUAAGUUUUUGUAAUACUUGACGAACAUGUAUUUCAUGUUCUUCGACGUUCUUAGAAUAGAUCAGGAUAUCGUCUAGAUAGCAGACGACAAAAUUGUCUAAGAAUUCACGAAAUACAUCAUUCAUGAGAUGUUGAAAAGCAGCUGGUGCAUUUGUGAGUCCAAAGGGCAUGACAUUAUAUUCGAAAUGUCCAUACCUGGUUCGAAACGCAGUCUUCCAUUCAUCUCCUUCUUUGAUCUGUACUAAAUUAUAUGCUCCUCUUAGAUCUAUUUUUGUAUAGAUCUUAGCUUGAUUCAACUGGUCAAGGACUCCUGAUAUCAAAGGUAAUGGAUACCUGUUCUUGAUUGUGAUCUUGUUGAGUCCUCGAUAAUCAACACACAUUCGUAAAGAUCCAUCUUUUUUCUUUACGAAUAGAAUUGGAGCUCCUGUUGGAAAUUUUGAAUGGCGUAUGAAAUUCUUCGCUAAAUUCUCGUCAAUAUAUGUCUUGAGUUCAGCCAUCUCAUCUUGCGAUAAACUGUAAAUUGGUCCAAAUGGUGGCUGAGUUCCUUCCUUGAGGUCGAUUGAACAAUCAUAUGGGCGAUGCUUAGGAAGAAUAUCUGCAUUUUUUUUCUCAAAAACGUCUUGAUACUCCUGAUAUUGACUUGGAAUGCCACUUGAAGUCUUUACGUUUUCAGAAAUAGGUGCAGCAUAAAUAGCAAAAGUUGAUCCUUCUUUUGCUGCGUGUAUAAAUGCUUUUGCACCUAUCAGUACGGGUUUUAUUAUACUAAACUUAUAAUUUUUUACUUGGUUGGUAGAACUAUUAAUAACGCUCUGGGAAAAGUCAAGUUUACUCAAAUUCUAAUCUAUUCGAGGGUUAUAUUUUUCUAGCCAGGAUAAACCUAAAAUAACUGGAUUGGACGGGGAUUUAAUUAUGUUAAAAGCUAUGUAGCUAUCAUGACCGUCUAUUGUUACUUUUAUAGGAUGAGUUUCAUGAGUGACAUCUCCAGAAGACAAGAGACGACCAUCUAUGACUUCUACAUGUACUGGUUUAGGUUUCUGUACAAAGUGUAUUUUACGACUUUUAACAAAUUGUUCAUGUAAAAAACAUGCUGAGGCUCCCCAAUCUAAUAAAGCAGAGGCUUUGUAAUUCUUAGGUCCUAAAUAUAAGUCUAUUAUAAAAUAAGGAGAGGGUUCUGAGGAGAGGAUAGGACCUUCAUUAGGAAUUGUACAAGGUUCCCGCUGCACGGUCCCUAUUGUAGCUGGACGAAUCCGUUUUUCGACAUGUUGUCUUCUUUGACCGUCGUACCCUUCAUUUUAUAGUUGCGUCAUUUUUUUGGAUAAUGUUGAGCAGUGUGCUUAGGUUCUCCGCAAUAUAAACAUAAUCCUUCUUGACGACGACGAAUCUUUUCUUGCUCAGUUAGGGGUUUAAAACGUACCGCGUCAAUUUGCAUGUCUUCUACUUCCGAAUGUACGUUUGGCAAAGAUGUUGAUAUUGCCAUUGAGUAAUAACGUUGAAGUUCCCGUGAAUGAUUCUUGGAUCAAAAUUCGAAAAGUCGAUUAUCACAUUUUACCGCAAAAUCGAUUGCUUGACUCAAAGUUUGAGGAUCAAGUAAGUUGAGCAUCAAUUUCUUUACUUCGUAUUGCAAUCCAUAAAGAAAUUGACUGAUGAGUGCAGCAUCAUCCCACUUGAUGUCAAUUGCAAGUUGUCAAAAUUGUGAAGCAUACACUGUUACUGAGCGAUUUCCUUGUCGCAGAAUUCGGAUCUUAUUUGUUGCAACACGAGUUGCAUCAUGUUCACCAUACAUAGAUCGAAACUCCGCCAAAAAAGCUUCCAAAUUGUCCAAUAUUGGAUUUUGUUGUUCAAGAAAAGACGAAAACCACGAUAAUGCAGAACCAAAAAGUAGAGUGCCAAUAAAUCUGACUUGUGAUCCUGGAGUUGGAUAGCUUUGCGGUUGAAGUUCAAUUGCCAAUUGUAUUUGAUUGAUGAACCCUCGAAACUUUGAUCUCGUACCAUCAAAUUUCUCGGGUAAGGUAAUUCUUGGUUCUCUAGUGCUUACAGAGUGUUGUACAAUUGGAGAAGGAACGUGAUUUGUUGUAGAUGUUGAAGCAGCUCCGAUCAUCUCUAUAUCCCCACUUUCUGCUAUUCUUGUUCUUUCCUGUGUUGGUGAAUUGAGUUGAUGCAUCACAAGCAUUAACUCCCUCAUUUGCUCUUGCAUUUGUGCCAUUGCACUCUUCAUUUCAAUAAGCUCUGCCAUAAUAACACUAAGAAGAAAAAUUUGUUUGAUACUGCUCAAGACAAAAGAAAAGAAAGACUUGAUAACAAAGAAGAUACUAAAAACAAUAUCAGUUUAGAAGUGGGUAAACCGCAAACUUCCAAUAUGCUUAUGUCUUGUCAAGAGAAAGGGGUAAUCCACUCUUACUCAAGAAAAAACAAAGCUCUGAUAUUGUAAAUGCACUCUUGUCAAUCUGUCAAGGACAAGAACUCGAUGAAAAAAUAAUUCAGACAAGCGAGCCUUCACUCAAAGAGAGGUAACAAAAUAUAUAUAAACAAGUAUAUAUAUUGAAAUAGAAACUGGAAUGGCUAUUGCCAAAAGACAAGAAAACUAGAGACCCUUGAAACUAGACUAGAAGCAAGAAAGGAGUUGACAAGAGUGAAGAAGCCUUCACUCUUGUCUCUAUAUAUACUAUCUAAUUAGGAGCUACGUGGCGACGUUCUAUAGGACCUCCAAUAUGUGUUGACUUUGUAGGACACAUGCCUUGACUUACAAGGCAAUUUUUUCUAUGUGUGGGCCACAUAGUUAGCUUGAUCUUCAAGCUAACAACAUGUGUGGCACAUGGCCAACUUGUUGACCACGUUUCUAAUCCAAAAAGUCAAUUAAAGACACCUAUGAAGUCAAAGCAGCGUCUAGGAAGUUUCUAGGAAGCUUCUAUAUUAAAUAUUAUAGAAUUAACUUACUUUUAUGUACUUUUACUUACUUCUACCUAUUUCUAUAUGUAAUUAUUAGCUUACAUGAUUAUGGCCGUGACAUUGAUAGGUUAAAAACUUGGUUUCAAGGACAUGAAUCUCAAAGAAAGAAAUCUUCAAUAUAUUCUUGUGACAUUGAAAAGAAUUAAAAAAUCAUUCUAAGAUGAUAUAUUAUUGAACUAGAAUAGCUAUUAUCAAAAACAAAAAGACUAGAAAAUCUUAAAAUAAGACUAAAGAUUAGAAAGACAUUGACAAGAGUAAAGAAGGCUUUACUCUUGCCUCCAUAUAUAUUCUUAACUAGGAGCUAUGUGGUGAUGUCCUAUAGGACCUCUAAUAUGUGUUGACUUUAUAAGACACGUAUCUUAAUUCAUAAGGCAAGUUUUUUAUAUGUGCACUACAUAGUUAGCUUAUUUUGCAAGCUACUAACAUGUUGUCAUGAUGUAAAAUGGCUAAUAGGUGAAAAGGUGAAGAAAAUAUCAUAUUUUUGAAGAUUUUAUUUUAAAUAUAUUGUAACAAAUUAUCUUAGAAAAAUAGAUAAUAAUCAAGGAGUAGAAAAAUUAAAGAUGCUAAUACUGCCUUUUUACAAAAUAGGCUUCUACUCACUUUGUAGGACCACUAAUAGAAAAAAAUAAGGUAGAUUAAAAAAUAAACAAUAUAGACACAUUUGAAAAGAAGUUAAGAGUAGUUUUUAGUAAAAAUUACCUAAAAAAAUUAGAUAUUGAUACCCAAAGAAGGCCAGUUAUGAACCAAGAUUGAAAUCAAAUUCCAAGGCACAAAACUAAGCUCUGACAAUGAUUUAGAGAUUCUUUUGGCAAUCAGAGGAUAAGAUCUAAGAGCUGACUUUAUAGGUUUUUUUUGAGUAUUGAUUUGAUGUGAUUUGAGUGUGUAUUGACUUUGUAAGAGCUUUGCAAAGUUGAGAUUUGUUUUGGAUACUCUGGAUUUGUGAAAUAAAAAAGUGAUAAUUUUUGGAGAAUUUUGUAAGAUUGACAUAGAUCUAUAGAUGAAAUUUUGAGGAUUUUUGGAUAUAUAUGUGUUAAAUAUAUGUUGUGAGUUUUAGCUUGAUCAAAGGGUUGGAUCAAGGAUUAUUGAGGUUUAAGUGGAUUGGAAUCUCAAAAAGUAGAGUUUUAAGUCAAGGGUUUUUAAGAUUUCUUACAAUCUGUUGGUUGGAUUGAAGUGAAAGUUGUGUAUGUAGAUAAUAUGCUUAUUUUCUUAUGUAUAUGAGAAAUUUGAGAUCAAUCUAAUAGUUCAAUAAGGAGAUAUUGAUGCUAAAAAUUCAACAUUUAGAUUGAAGAAGGAGGUCAGCCAACAUUCGAACAAAUAUUAGGGUUGAUCUUUUUUUUAGUGAUUUCGAUCUGUUUUAAAACUUUUGUGCUUAUUAUCAACUUAAUUUUAAAGAAGUGUGAAUAUUUUGAAUUAAGAUCAAUGGUUCAUUCAUUAGUUAUUGAGAUUUAAAUCUGCUCUAGGAAUUAAUUGGAUUUAUUUAGGAUUUGAUUAAAGUAUGUUUAGGAUUUGAUUAGCAUUCGAUUAAAUUUUUUUUAAGUUUGUUUAGCUUUAUUUAGGAUUUGGUUAGGAUUUUACUAGGAUUUUACUAGGAUUUAUUUAGGAUUUGGUUAGGAUAUGUUUAAGAUUUGAUUAGGGUUUAAUUAAAAUUUGUUUAGAUAUAUUUAGGAUAUAGUUAGGAUUUUUUUAGGAUUUUUUUAGGAUUUGACUAAGAUUUGGUUAAGAUUAAUUUAGGAUUUGUUUAAGAUUUGGUCAAAAUUUGGUUAAGAUUUGAUUAGAAUUUGGUUAAGAUUUGAUUAGGAUUUGUUACGGUUUGACUAGGAUUUGGUUAGGAUUGGCUAAGGAUUUUUUUGGAUUUGUUUAGGAUUUGACUAAGAUGUAUUUAGGAUUAGAUUAGGAUUUAAUUAGGAUUUGAUUAGGAUUUGUUUAGGAUUUUAAUAGGAUUUAAUUAAGAUUUUUAUUUUAAUAUUUUAUUAAGAUUUCUAUUUUACUAUAUUUUUGAAUUCUAUAUUAUUUCUUUAUGAUUUCUUUAAAGAUUCUUUAAAAAUACUUUGUAUUUCUUACAAAAUUAUUUUGAAUUUUUGAUUGAAUUUAAUUUGAUAUUUGAUUAUAUUUGCUAAUUUUUAAUUAUAAUUUGUUUAAAAAUCUAUUAGAGUUGUUAGAACUUAUUGUAAUUUUCCUUUUAUCUUCCACAGCCAAUUGCCUAGUGCAUUCUCAAGCCAAAUGCCACAUAAUACAACAACGAAGUUAACUUAUUGACCAAGUUUCUAACCUACCAAUCAACUACAAAUAUUUAUAAAGUCAAAGCAUCAUCUAUGAAGCUUCUAGGAAGCUUUUCUAGAAGAUAUUAUAAAAUAAACUUACUUUUAUCUAUUUUUCCCUACUUCUAUUUUAUCAUAUAGGUAUUUAUUAGAGUAUGUAUAUAUAUCUAUGACAUUACCCCUCUCUUAUAGAGAUAAGUUCUAUGACGAGCAGUAAUAAUGAGUUGAUGAAAUCCAAGAUGCAAUGAAUUAUAUUUUUCACAUACUCUGAUCUUUGUUCUCUUCAAAGAUGGUUGGUAGGUCCUCUCAGCCAUUGAUAGUAUCCUAUACUCAAGCAAAAAGAUCAUCCUUUUAUUUGAUCAUUGUUGAGGCCUUUAUAAUUUUCUUCAAAUAAAAUUUUCAAAAUACCUUUAAGAGUUGUUCUUACUUCUAAUAAAAUCACCAAACAUCGAGAGUUUCUUCUAAGAUCAUGAUACCAAAGACAUUGUAUCUUGCCAUCUAUUUGAUGGAUGUUGUUAAUAAAAAGCUUCAACUUUCUUUGUUACAUUUACAAGAUUCUUUGCUCGCUCUCAUGUAUGUUCACUAGUAUCAUAUCUAUACCAAUAAAUAAGAUAUCUCAACCUAUUUUAAUACCACUUUGAAUUUAAUACUUCUUCCACUUCAAAUUUUGAUUAUUAUCUACUUCUAUAGGAGGAGGUGGCAUUUGUCUUCUUUCUAAGAUAUUCACUAUCUUAUAUGGUUUAAGAAGAAAUAUGUGAAAUACAAGAUGGAUCUUUAUAGACUCCAGUAGAUAUAAUCAAUAAGUAAUAAGAUUGAUUUAUUUACUAAUAGGAAAAGGUCGAAGCCUAUAGUAAUCCAACUUGUCUCAAAGAUGGAUAGUCUUGAUAUUGUCAUGAAAUAACCAUAUCUUAUCACCUAUAUUGAAUUAAAGCUAUUCCUUGUAAUAUGCAUCUAUAUUAAUUUUCUAUCAUUCUUCAUUGUUGUAUAUAGCUGUGACAAAUGAUUUGUCAAAUCUUUUUUUAUAGGAUUAUUCAUUUUUAAAAAAUCAAAAGUAUCAAGUCAUGAAUGAUAACUAUAAUUAGUAAAAAAAGUUAUUUUAUAAGUAGAAGAAUGUACCAAAUUAUUAUAUAUAAAUUCUACCAAUGAUAAAAGAAUUAUUCAAUCAUUUUGAUGAUAGUUGAUGGUAUAUCUUAAGUACUAUUCCAAAAUGUUAUUCACCUAUUUUAUUUGUUCAUCAAUUUGAGGAUGAAAAGUCAAAGAAAGCUUUAUAUUCACUUUUAAAAUCUUAAUAUAAAUUGAAUCUUCGUACUUAAUAUAAUAUCUUUAGGCAAUCCAUGAUAGCAAUAGAUGUUGUUAAGAAAAAGCUUAGCCAUUUCUUCACUUGUGAUAGAUUUUAUACAUGGUAUAAAAUAUGCCAUCUUGGUAAUACUAUCUAUUACCAUGCAUAUAGAAUCAUACGAACUUGAGACUAGAAGAUCUGAGAUAAAAUCCAUAGAAACAAAAGACCAUAAUUUUUUUGAAAUAGAUAAUAGCUAAAGAAGUCCACAAGAUUGAUGGCGAGGGAUUUUCGAUCUUGAAAAAAUAUUAAAUGAUUGUACAAAGUCUUUGACUGUCUUCUACAUUUGAGGCCGCUAGAAAUCUCUUCAUAUUAAUUCUAAAGUCUUGUUGUAUCUAGAAUGUUUGGCUACUCAAAAGUCAUGACAAAUUUAAAAAACUCGUAAUCGUGUUCCGCCUUCUGGAAUAUAUAUAAUCAUCCUUCAAAAUAAAGUAGAUUAUUUUUCAACUUGAACUUCAAAAUAUCAUGAGAUUUAGAAGAGUUAUUCUUGAUAUUCUUAAUAAGAUGAUUAAAGGACAUACUUGAUUGAAUUUGCUUAACAAAGAUUGAAUCAACAAUCAAUAUUGAUUUUAGUUAAGUAUAUGUAAAAAAGAAUUAGGAGUUGGUUUUAGAAGAAUUUAUUUCAAAAGGGAUAAAAAUUGAUACCCAAAAAAGAUCAGUUACCAACUAGGGUCAAAAUUAAACCCCGAGGCACAAAACAAAACAUCAACAAUAAUUAUAGAGUUCUUUAAUUGAUUAGAAUGGAAUUGAAGAGCAGACUUGAUAGAAUUUCUAUAGGCAUUGAUUUUAAGGAUUUUAGAUAAAUAAUGACUUUGUAAGAGCUUUGCAAAGUUGAUGUUUUUUUUGGUGACUUUGGGUUUUAGAAAAUAAAAUAGGGUUGAUAUUUUGAGCAAUUUCAAGAGUUUGGUAACAGAUCUAUAGAUGAUUUUUUUUUUGGAUUUUUGGAUAUAAUUGUGCUAGAUGUGUGUUAUGAAUUUGGAUUUGAUUGAAUAGUUAGAUUGAAAAGCAUGAAGGUUUUUAUAGCUUAUGGUCUUAGAAUUUAGGAUUUUGAAGACUAGUGAGGUUUUCUUAGAUAUCUGUCAAUCCACCAAUUAGAUUGAGGCAAAUUUUUUGUAAAGGUAGUCAUCUUGAUUUUUAAUAAGUGUGUAAAGUUUGAAAGAAAACUAAUGAUUCAAUCAAGAGUAAUUGACUUUAGGAGAUUGGCAUCAAAAUUAGAAAAAGAGACCAGCUGACAUUCAAGGACAUUUUUGAGAUUAUUGUCUAUUUGGUUAUUUCGAUCCUUUUCAAAUUCUUUUUGUGCUUAUUGUUAACUUAAUUAGUAAAGAAUGUGAAAAAUUUGAGUUGAAAUCAAUAGUUUAAAUAUUAAUUAUUAAACUUUAAAAUCUAUUGUAAGGUUAUUCAAAAUUUAUUUUAAAUUUUAAAAAAUUAAUUAGGAUUUGAUUAAGGUUAAGAUUCAAGUAGGAUUUAGGUUUUGAUUAGGAUUAGGAUUUUAUUAGAGUUAUAAUUUUUUUAGGAUUAGGAUUUGAUUUGAUUUAAGAUUGGUUUGAAUUUCUUUAAGAUUUUUUUAGGAUUCUUUAGGAUUUCUUUUAGGAUUUCUUUUAGGAUUUCUUUUAGGUUUCUUUAGGAUUUUUUUUUGUUUUUUUUAUAAUUUAUUUCAAAAAUAAAAAAUAAAAAUAAAUAAAAAUAAUAAUAAAAAUAAUAAUAAUUGGACUUAAUUAAUGUUUGAUUAUGUUUUUUAAGCUUCUAUAGCAAUUUAUAUAUGAUUUUAUUAGAGUGGUUAGCACUUAUUGUAAAUUCCUUUUAUCUUCUACAACCAAGUGCCUAGUGCCUUCUCAAGCAAGAUUUCAUGUAAUACAACACCGACUUCAAGAAAAUUAUUUUUUGUUGAUCAAAAGAUGCAUCUCCUUCUUUUGAUGCAAGAUAAGAAUAUUUAGAAAGAGCAUCUGAUAAACCUUAUUAUUUUUUUGAAUGAUAAGUGGUUUUAAAAUCAAAUCUUGAUAAAAACAUACUCUAACGAGUUUGGCAAUGAUUCAAAACAUGUAUUGAUAUGAAAUACUCAAGGUUCUUAUAAUUUGUAUAUACUAUGAUUUGACUUGAAGUAUCUUCUAAAUAAUGAUGCUAUUCUUGAAAUGAAUCCAUGAUUGCAAAGAGCUCUUUGUCAUGGAUCUCAUAAUUAAUCUUGACUACUAAAUAUUUUUUGGAAUAAAAAGCUAGUAGAUAGAGUUUGUCAUUUGCUUCCAUUUGUAAUAAUAUUACACUUAAGGCAAAGUAUGAUGCAUGUAUUUCUAUGAAAAAUACCUUAGAAAAGUCUACAUGAUAUAAGAAUGGUGCAAAAAUAAAUUCUUUUUUUAAAAUAUCAAAUAAUAUUUUGACUUCUUUAUUCUACUUAAAUUUGUCUUUAUAACGUUGUCGUGUUGUGGUUUGGCUACUAUAUGAAAAUAACGUUAUUAUGUACUUAAUAUAUAAUUUACUAAAUAACAUGGUGAGAGCCAUGUCAGUAGAUCUUAGUUGGUUGUAGAAUAUAAUUUUAUUAUUAACUUGAAAAGAGGUUGUUUAAAAAGAUUACCUUAGAAUUUGUAUAGCUUUAAUUUCUUUUUUGAUAAUGGCUUUUAAGAUUGGUUUUGGUUGAUAGUAACUUCUAAAUAUUUAGAGUCACCUUUGUUAGACAUUGGUGACCUUUGGAAACUUAUUUUGAUUCUUUUAUUUGAUGUUUAGAACAUAAAUUAUGUAAAUCUUAUAAGAAAAAAGGAUUGGAGAAGAGUUUUGGUAGCAAAGGGAGUAAUUAGGACACCAAUAUAGAUGAAUGGAGAUGGAUGAUAAAAAUCUCCAUUCCUAUUGGUCAAAAAUCAUGACCAAUGGGCUUUGAGGAGGCUGCCUGAGGCCAUAUUAGGGAUUAGGAUUAGUUUCUCGGGCAUUUGAGCUUUGAAGGCUAGGAUCAGCAAGUUUAGGUUUUUGGCUAUGGUUUUGGUAUAAGUUUUGUAUGGUUUGGAGUUUAUAUAAAGGAGAUAUAGGUGCUCAAAGUUAAGGUAUUGAUUUGGAAGCUACUAUCACUCUUUUUGGCAUAACGCACGUAAUUGCUGUGCGUACGGACAUCAAUUGACGAUUGGCGACUGCGAUUGGAGAGAACACUUUUGCAACUAUAAUUUUUAUAGAUUGCUUGCUGGAUUCUAAGUUGAAGUAAAGGAGUUAUUAUAUUUUGAAGUCAUUUCAUGCAAUCUAAGAGUAAUAAGUGACCCAAUUUACUAGUGGUUGUGUCUUAAGCUAUAUCUUGAGCAAUUUGUCAAGGUUUUGGCUCAAAAUUUUAAGAAAUGAGUAAUUUCAUGUUAGUAAACUUUGUAAAUAAGUUUUAUGAUAUUUGAAUAUUGGAUUCUUGAGUUAUUAAGAAAAUAGUGCUCAAGUGCUUGUAAAUUAGGGUUUAAAGCGUCUGCUAGGGUUUCUUAGACAUCAAAAGAUUGAGAGUGAAUUUGCAAUUGGUUUUUUUUUUUAAUAAAAUUUAAGGAUAAAUUCUACCUAUCUUAUAAAUUUGAGACAAAUAAAACUAGUAGAUCAAGAGUUAUGAAUUUCUAAAGUUCAGGACAAAAAAAUCCUUCGUGGGAAAAAAUAUGUUUUGAAGGGAUUUUAUUAUAUUUUGAGUUUUAUGCAAAAUAAAAGAAUUUUAGAAGCUAAGAUAAGAUUCAUAUAAAGGUUUAAGCUUCACUCUCUACAGCUAGAUAUCUAGUGUAUUUCCACAUAGCAAAUCCUUCUUUAAUGCUACCAGAAAAUAUGCUCUUCAUAGAUCUAUUUUUGUAUAAAUCUUUAUUUGAUUGAAUUGAUCAAAAAUUCGUGAAAUCAAAGGUAGAAGAUACCUAUUCUUGAUAGUGAUCUUGUUGAAUCAUUGAUAGUCUACACACAUCUUUAAAGAUCCAUCUUUUUUCUUCAUAAAUAAGAUAGGAUCUCCAAGUAGAGAUUUAUAAUGGUAUAUGAAAUUCUUAGCCAAGUUCUUAUCAAUGUACUCUUUGAGUGUAAUCAACUCAUUUUGUGAUAAGAUAUAGAUUGGUCCAAAUGGUAGUUGAGUUCUUUCGUGAAGAUCAAUGGAACAAUUAUAAAGACAAUGCUUUGAAAGAAUAUUUGUAUUCUUCUUUUCAAAAAUAUCAUAGAAAUCUUGAUAUUACCUAAAAAUACUACUUAACAUCUUCUUACAAUCAAAAAUAGGUGUGGCAUAUAAAGCAAAAGAUAAUCUUUUUUUUGCGACAUCCACAAAAGCUCUUCCAUCUACCAAUAAGGAUUUGGAUGUAUUAGACUUAUGUGUUUCUAUUUGACUAACAAGUUUUUGGAUUAAACUAUUAAAAAAAUUAAGAUUACAAAGAUCUAAUCUAUCUCAAGGUUAUGAUUUUUUAAUUAAGGUAAUCUUAAAAUAAUCAAAUUGGAUAGAGAUCUUAUUACAUAAAUAUAACUAUUCUAUUAUGAUUUUUAAUUGCUAUAUCUAAAGAAAUAGUCUUAUGCAUAACAUCUCCAAAAGAUAGCAAAUGAUCAUCUAUGACUUCUACAUAUAUGAAUUUAAUUUAUUUGACUAAUAAUAUCACUUAUUUUUUGACGAAAUCAUUGUCUAUAAAAUAGGCUAAGGCUCCUAAAUCUAACAAAGCUAAGACUUUGUGAUUUUUUGAUUCUAAUUAAACUUUUAUAGUAAAAUAAGGUGAGAGAUUUGAAGAGAGAAUAGAACCUUCACUAGGAAUUAUGCAAGAUUCCAGCCAUGCGGUCUCUAUUGUAGCUAGAGAAACUUAUUUUCUAACACAUUGUCUUUUUUAGCAACCAUACUUCUCAUUUUGUGGUUGUGUUGUUUCUUUGGACAAUGUUGAGCAGUGUGUAUAGCUUCUCUACAAUAUAAGCUUAAGCCCUUUUUACAUCGUCAAGUCUUUUUCUACUUUGUGAGGGAUUUAAAAUAUAUCAUAUCAAUUUGCAUUUGUUCUGGCCUUGAUGAAUAAGUUUCUGAAAACUUAGGUGGUAGUGUCAUUAUUUGAUUUAUCCUUCUAUAGCUAAGUCUUUGUUCUUAAUGCCUUUUAAAUAAUUGAUUAUUGCAUGCAAUGGCUUAAGCAAUAAAUUAUUAUAAAGAUUUUACUUUUGGUAUUAUUAAUAACAAAUCUUUGACAUUAUCCUUCAAUCCAUAUCAAUAUUAAUUGAUAAAGGUUUUUUUAUUGCAAUCUACAUUGCAAGCAAGAUUUUGGAAUUCAGUAGCAUAUAUAGUGGCUAAUCGUGAUUCUUAUCGUAGAAAUAAGAGCUUAAUUUCUACUAUUAUUUCUAGAUGAUUUUUUCUAAAUGUGGUUGUAAAGACUUGUAGGAAUGAAUUCAAAUCAUGAAAGAGUUGCAAAUUCUUUUUCAUUAAAGGUGCAAACCAAGAAAGAGUACUUCCUAAUAAAAGUGCAUGUACAAAUUUGACUUGAGUAAAUCCAUUGUGAUAUUGGAAGGGAUGCAACUUUAGUUAGACCUUGACUUAUUAUAGAAAUCCUCAAAAUUUUCAUCUUGUUCCAUCAAAAUUCUCAAGCAUACUAAUCCUUGUCCUUGUCAUACUUAUAAAAACAAAACUUUUUAGAUUUGAUUAUAAGGUCAAUCUACUUGCUUCCUUCAAUUGUACAACUUCUUGCUGGAGACUUUGAACUUCUUUUACAGAUGUAGAAAUAGUAUCUCCAUGAUUCACAUUAGAAACACGUGAGAUUUCCAAAUGAAAAUUUUCACAAAGAGAAGUAAUCCACUCUCUUUAAGAAAAAGAUUAGUGUUAGAAAACAAGAUUGUUUGUUUAAAGGUAGAUAGUCCACAAUCUUCAAAACACAACAAUAGAAGUGGGGUAAACCACUCACAUAUCUUUCACAAUCACAAGUUAAAACUUUUCCUUUAACAUAUAAUCAGGCUGAUUUAUCCUAUAAAUUUGUAUCUGUGAUGUGGGUAAAGAACAAAACCCCAUUAUUUAUCUCAAAUAUGAUGAACUGGGCCAGGUCUUGGCAACUGCAGCUUCUGAUCCAGUACAGAAAACAACUUGAGUUCAACCCAAAUUGUGUAGCAAUUAUAGAUGCUACAAGGAGCUCUCUCUCUCUCUCUCUUCAAUCACCGUUCCUUCUGUAACAGCUUGUUAAAAGUUGAACUCAAUUGGCAAGCCAACAGUGCUUUCUUGCCCUGUAAUAUUUAAUAAUAAACUACACCAGAGCCUAUCUACUUAGAAAACCAUGUUCGAAGCAUUUGGGUCAGAUCUAUAGUCUAAAAACGAUCUAUGUUUCAUGCCGAAAUGAAGUCAUUCUUGCUCAAGCUUCAUGCCGAUCCAUGUUAACAUGACUUGUUAGGUAAUACAACAUUGAGAUACAUUCACAAGUAGAUGUUCUCUGUGUAGCAAAGCUGGAAAAAAAGUGAGAAAGAAGAAGCUGUGUGAGCCUUCGUCGAGAGUUCUUCUCAGCAACAUUUAGAACUUGAUCACAUGCACAUCUUACCAAGUAUAGUGAAAUGGAAAGGAGGUCUCACCUUUCGAAGAAGUUCGGUACUCGACUUUAACUCCGAUGCCCUCUAAAGCUUGAACCUCGGAUGGGUAUCUUUUCUCAAUGCCUUACCAAUGCGGGAUUGAGUACAACUCAAUCACAGCAUUAGAAUCCUUCAAAUCCCAGUCCGACUUACAACCUGAUCGAGUCAACCACAAACUUAGCUGUUCAUCUGUUUACUUGAGUUUGAUGAACUCAGAACGUGAAGAACAACGAUACGAAACUUCACUGUGGUGUAUGGUGUUAGAAUAUUGAACUUUGCGGAUUCCCAACAUGCGUAUGUAUAAUAAAAAAUGGUGUAAUUUCUUAACACUAUGACUCUUUCAGAAAACAUCGGUUUUACUUCAUCCUGAACUUUGAUUUUAUGUGAUUCCGCUGUACUAAAGUUCUGUGAAUCAACAUUGAAUAUAAAUCUUCAAUCUAGAAACCAAGCAACGAGGUACAUGAGAAACAAACCAAAUGCGAUGGUAAAAUUCAAACUAAUGCAAUUUCUUCUCUGUACUCCAUCGCAGAUAAAUCACUACAAUCCAUUUCUCAUGCAAAUGCAUUCAUCUCUUUCUUUCGGAGUGGUUGCAUUACCAGAUCGUGGUCCAUAUAUCAAACCUUCGUUUGACGAUAACGAGCUCGGAGGAAUAAAUGCAUGUUAGUUUCCCAAUCUUACCAAGAACAAACACCGUUUCACAUACAAACCUUCAGUUCAGAGCCCGAAUAAAAUGAAUCCAUUUCGGAGCUAACGUAGCAAAACCCAAAGCCUCUAGAUUCAACAAGUUUGAAUGCACAAUGUAAAAAACUGAAACUAUGCUGUGACCUCAUUUCAUUAACUUCUUUCUUUCUCAGGAUUCAAAGCCUCACAAAAAUAUUUUACAAAGAUUAUCUCUGCUUUCGAUAUGAUUUUGUUGAUCAUAGUAUCAUUUUUUAAUCUGCUUCUGAUAAAGAAAUUGUAAAAUAUUGAAGUAUUUAACCUAAGAAACAAAUAAAUGGGAAAUUUGUAGGAGACUAUGAUCAUAUACAAGAUGCAUGUUGUUUAAUGAUUUUAACAGGUAGUUUAUUUGUGUUUACAAUUGGCUUUAAAAUUGUGUUUUGGAUAAUGUAUAAAAACACCAAUAUACACUAAAUUUGUGUGCAGUGAUCAAAUUUUAGAUUUGAAAGUGAUUGCCGGUUUUGAGAAUUCAUUUUCAUCCUUAAACACAAUGGAACAGUAAUAUAAUUAGAAUUUAUAAGUGUGUGUGUAUAUAUAUAUAUACAUACAUACAUACAUACAUACAUACAUACAUAUACAUUUAUAUAUAAAUAUGAGAAUUAUUAGGGCAAUAGAAUCCAAUCGAUUUUUGUAGAUUUUUAUUUAUAAAGUGUAUAAUGGAUUCAAACAUGUCAUUAAGUUUCUUGUAGAGUCUUUUUUUGCACUAAUCUAUAAUAAAAUUCUCAAAUUAUUAUACUCAAUUUUAUUUUAUAUGAUAUUAUUGGUGAGGCUUUGAAUCCUGAGAAUUUUACAAUUUCUUUAUCAAAAGCAGAUUAAAAAAUGAUACUAUGAUCAACAAAAUCAUAUCAAAAGCAGAGAUAAUCUUUGUAAAUGCCAGCAUCAAUGGUAGAAGUUGAAUUGGUGUUAAUAAGUUUAUGGUACCAACACCAAAUUGCAAUGCAUUUUGCAACUAGAAAUCUAUGCUUUAUUUGUAACAUCAAAUAGCCUAUGGUCCUUGUAAUUCUAUGUUUCUUAAUUAUGGAUAUGUGAUCUUAUUUCUAUUUCUUUAUAUUUUUAUAUAUAAAAAUUACAUUUUAUAAUUUUUAUACUUUAUAUAUUUGCCAAAAAAAAUAUUAAGAUACACUCUAUAUCACAAAAAUAAUAAUAAUAAAUAAUAAAGUUAAAGUUACUAAUCCACAAUAAUAAGAAAUUAUUUAAGUAAUACUUCUAGUUUAGAAGUAGUAAUAUAGAUAAAGAAACUUAUAAAAAAAAAUUAUUUUAUUUCCUUCAAAAUAUUUAUGAUAUAGGAUGAGGCUUCUAUUAUUUAAGAACUAGAGUAUAAAAAUGUGAAGAAAAGAGAACUAAAACUGCUUAAAAUGAAUUUAUCUCCCAAGUUUUUAUAUACCGUAAGUCCACAAUCUAAUGACAAGCUUUUUUGUAUGAAUACACUAACAAUUAGUCCAACUAUUGACAAAUAGGUAUUUGACUUAUUAGACCUGAUGAUUGCUUUAUUGGCAAUGAUAACCAUGUUGGCUAUAAUAACUACAAUGAUUAUAAUGGCUAUUUAAUUAUGUAUUGAUUAAUGUUCAUAAUAUACAAUUGACUAUCAAUCAUUUAUAUAAUAUCUAAUAAAAAUUAGCUAUAUAUGUAAAUAUUCUUUUAAUAUUUUUAUUUAAUGAUAGAUUGGACUAGUUCAAUUAGGCGAUUCCUAUCACAUUCUUGAAUUUGCAAUGCUUUUCAUAAUUUCAACCUUUGAUCAAAACAUUUGCUACAAGAAUAUUGUGUAAAAAAACUAAAUUGAUGUUGCUAUCUUCAAUUGUUUUACAAACAAAGUAAUGUUGAAUCUCAACAUGCUUUGUAUAAGCAUAGAAUAUAAUAUAUAUAUAUAUAUAUAUAUAUAUAUAUAUUACUAAAAAUAGAUAUAAAACUAUCUUAUGAAAUUUCAAUGUUCUCAAAUGAUUUAUAAACCUAGACUACUUCUAUUGUUGCAUGUGUACCUUCCAUAUACUCUUCUUCAGCAAUAGCUAAUGCAAUUAUUGGGUGCUUCUUACUAUCUCAAUUGAUUACACUAUGAGACAACAAAAAUAUAUAGCCAAUAGUCAAUUAUUGAGUAUCAAUAUUUUUUACAUAAUCUAUAUUGUAAUAUCCAAUUACUUAUAAAUUUAAAAAACUUUCUCCAUAUUAUAGCACAUGAUCUAAUGUACCUAUGAAAUAUCAUAAAAUAAAUUUGACUACUAUUUAAUAUUGUAGGCUAGGAUUUUUCAUGUAUUAGCUAACAACUUCAACUACAUAUGUAAUAUCAGUUUGAGUACCUAUCAAUGUAUAUACUAAACUAUUUAUUGCAUUUGAUAAGAAACAUCUUCCAUUGUUUCAACCUCCUUAAGAAUGUAAAGACUUAUUUUUCUUGAUAGUUAGCUAUUAGAAUCCAAAGGUGUAGAUAAAGAUUUAUAACCUUCUAUGUCCAACCUUUUAAAUAUGUUUUCCAAGUACUUAUAUUAAUUCAAGUCAAUUAUAAGAUUUUUUCAAUUUUAUAUUAUUUGCAUGCCUAAGGUAUAAUAGACUUCUUCAAAACCCUUCAUCCUAAACUUUCAAGCUAAGUUUUUCUCUAUUUUCAAGAGAAGUUUCUUGUUAUUAGACACAAACAUCAAGUUAUCUUCAUAAAGUACAAUGAUGAUGAAGAAUCUAUUAAUUGUCUAUAAUGCAUAAAUUUUAAGAUUGGCAUGGUUUUUUUUAAAACUUUGUAAUAUAAGAUAGUUAUUUACCUUUCAAUACCAUGUCUUAAAAGAUGGCUUGAGUCCAUAGAAAAUUUUAGAAAAUUUAUAUACUAAUUUUUCUUUACCCUCUAAUAUAUAGCCUUAUGUUUGGUCCAAAUAUGUAUCUCUUUUUUAAAUUCUCUAUUCAAGAAUGAUAUCUUCACAUCUAUUUAAUGAACUUUCAAAUCUUCAAGUGUAGCUAGUCCAAGAAAUAUGCAAAUUGAGGUCAUUUUUACCAACAAAAUAAAAGUUUCAUUAUAAGCAAUAUCAUCUUUUUUACACAUAACCUUUUGCAAUUAAUCUUAUCUUAUAGUUUUCUAUUAAACCAUUUAUAUUAUUUUUAAUUUUAAAAAUCUAUUAGCAAUAAAUUUAUUUUUUUAUAUUAGGAAUGGUAUCAAAGUCCAAGUCUUGUUGUUAAUAAGUCUCUAGUACUCUAAAUCUAAUACUUCUUUUUACUUCCAAAUAUCAUCACUUUCCAUAGCUUCAAUAAAACUAAUUGGUUUGUCAAUGCUCAUAUAAAAAGUAUGUAUCAUAUAUACUAAAGAUAUAAAAGACUUGAAAAGAAUCCAAGUCAAUAUUAAUUCAUCAAUCAUUUGUUGUUUUGCUAAUAAAUAUGUUCAUACACGUGUCAUCAUUGGUAAAAGAAGAACUCAAGGUGGGAUAUUAGCUCGAUUUAAAGUUUCAUAUUUUUGUCUAAGCACUCAAGCUUGUAUUAGAUUUUUUUUAAAUAAAGAUGAAGAUUCAACAAGUGGAUUUUGUUGACCAAUGUUAAUAUCUACGUUUCUUACUACAUUGUCACUAUUACUCUUUGAAUCAAAUGAAGAAUUUAUAGAAUUAUUUUUUUAUCAUUAUUUUUUUAGAUUCAUUAAUAGAAAUAUCUAAAAAAAAUUUAUUUUUUUUAGAUUCUUUAUAUAUAAAAAAUUUAAUAUUACGACUCUUAAAAAUAUAAUCCUUAUUAAUAUUGUACAGAUAAUAUUACUUGAUAUCUAUAAUAUAGUCCAUUUUUUUUUUCUUUUGGAAUUAAUUUUUGUGCAUUUUUCAUAUAGAAAAUGUACAUAGACAUCACAUCCAAAAGUAAAAACUAUUGUAUCAAAAUUUUCAUACUUGACUUAAUUUUUUUAGUUUUUUCUUUUUUGCCAUGAGUAUAGCUAGAACUUAAUUAAUGACAUAUGUUGUAAUAUUGAUGGCUUUUGCCUACCAUGCAUUUCAAAGUUGUUUAUGAUGUAACAUAUACCUUACACUCUUAAAAAAUAUUUGAUUUUUAUAUUUUAUAACUCUAUUUUAUUGAGGCAUAUUAGGCAUCAAAAAUUAUCUUUUAAUAUAAUUUUUUUGAUAAAACAACUUAAAAGCCUUUGAUGUAUAUCUCUCACUAUUAUUACUACAUAAUUUUUGAAUCUCUAAGCUUAUUUGUUUUCUACUAAAAAAUUUUAAAGUUAUCUAAGACUUUAGACAUUUGUUUCAUGAAAUGUAUAAAAUUCUUUUUUAAAAAAUCAUCAAUAAAUGUGACAAAGUAUAUUGCAUUUAUAUGGGAUGUUGUUCUCAUAAGACCAUUUAUAUCAAAAUAUAUCAAUUCUAAGAAUUUGGAUGCUUGAAUAUUACCUUUUGUUGGAAAAGCAUUACAAUGUUGUUUUCUAUCAAUACAUAAUUUGUAAAAUCCUAACUUUGAAUUCUUGCCUAUGUUUAGAUGAGUGUCCAUAUCACAUACUUGUAGUUUUUUUAAGCCUAAAAUACCAAGAUGACCAUAUUGUUGAUACUAAAGAGUAAUCUUUUUAAAAGUUUUUUUUUGUGUUUAUAAUAAAAAAAAGUUUUUCUAUCUUCAUCUAAAGAUCUCAAUAGCAUAUACAAGCUAUUGUGUCUAAGAUCCCUAAUGGUUCUGUUGUCUUAUUUCAAAAAACAUGAACCAACCUUGAAAUUUACUUCAUAAUCUUUAUUUGUCAUUUUUCUAAUAGAAAAAAAAAUCUUGACCAAUCUUUCAAUAUGCAAAGUAUCAUGUACAUCCUUUUAAACACUAUUUAGAAAUUUGAAAGAAAUCUUUUUUUGUGAUGGUAAGUCUAGUAUCAUUAUCCAAAUAGAUUUUAGAGUCUUUUGAUAGGUUUUUGUAACUUAAAAAUCAACUUUGAUAUUAUGUCAUAUGUUGAGAAGCACCAAAAUCUAUGUACUGUUCUUUCUUGCUUAUAGUGACAAAUAAUACAACUACAAAGAUUGAUUCAUCUUCUUUUGAUCUUUAUUAUCUAUUAUAUUAUCUUACUCUUUUUGAAAAGUCUUUUUUAACUUUCUUAAGUUCUUAUCAUUUUUUUUGGUCUAAUAUACUUUCUUAUAGUAAUCUUUUUUGCUACAAUAUCUAUGUUUGGUAUCUUUCUUGUAAUCAUGUAAAGAUCCUACAUGAGUAUAAAUAUGAAAAUGUGACUUGGAUUUUUUUUCCAAAACUAACACUGCUUUAAAGGUUGAUUCUACAUUCUUAUUGUAAGACCUUUGUUGCAAUAAUUGAGUUGUGACUAUAGAUAAUAUCAACUCAAUAGGAGGUUGUGUCUCUAAUAAUACUACCAAAGUACAAUAUGACUUUGGAAGACUUUCUAAUAAUGUUGUGAUAAAAUAUAGGUCCAAAUUUUUUUUUUCAAUUGAAAAAAGUUGAUCAAUUAUUUCUUGUAAUUUGCUUCUGUGUAUAAAAAUAUUAUCACCUUUAUUCACUUACGUAGUUUAGAACCUAUGAAUUAAAAUUAAUGAAGAUCAAGUAUUUUUAAUGUUGUAUGUUUCUUUUGAACUCUUCUAUGCAGCCUUUGCACUUGCUACUUUGUUUAUUGUCAUGAACUUUAGAAUGGGAAGAUGUUAACAAAUCAUAGAAAAAGCUUGCCCAUCUGCAUCUUUCUAUUUUUUUUACUCUCUUAAAUCUAUAGGAAAUUUAAUAGGUUUCUUAUAUUUUCCAUUUACAACAUCCUACAAUCUCUUGUCGAUAAGAAUAAAUUUAACUAUCUUAUUCUAAAGAUGCUAGUUGUUUCCAAUAAAUUUUUCUAUAAUAAAAUAUUAUUUUGCCAUAAUAUAAGGAGUAUGCUAAAGAUUUAAAAAAUAAUAGGAUUUAGAAAAUAAAAUAAGGAGGAGUUAGAAAUAAGAUCAAGGUAAGGCUUAAUAUCCUCUUAUAUAACUUUUUGCUUGAAUAUUUAUAGAAUUUUUUAUUUUUUCUUCAAAAAACCAAAAUUAGGUUUAAAUAAGUGUAUUAUAUUAUGACUAGGUCUUUCAAAUAAUUUCAAGUCUAAAUUCACAAAAUUAAUAAAGAUUAUGCAAUUCUAAUAAGAAGAUGUCAAAUCUAAAUCAAAACAUUUAACUAGCCAAAAUUUCUUAAGUUCCUAGCCUUCUAUGUAUCCUUGGUUGCAAUCAAGUUUUUACAUAAAAUUCCAGUGGCAAGUUUCCAUAGCGAGUUCUAACUACCAUCGUCCAAUCCAACAGUUUCUUUCCAAUAGCUCUAUAACUCUAUAUACAUUGUAGAUAAGCUAUGAGUAAAAAUUGUAAGCAAAGCAUGGAUUGUAUUCAAAAAUUCUUAAAGCUCUAAGAUCUUCUUGUUGCUUCUCUUGAUUUCUAAGAUUGAUACUAAUAAGAGCUACCAAAAAAAAAGAAACAACUUGAAUUUGGCCUACAAAAGGUUCAACUCCUCAAAAAGCUAAAUUCACAAAUUACAAAGCUUCCAAAACCCUAAACCUUGGUCACAAAAGAUCAAGUCUUGCAAAACAACCUCAUGCAAUCUACUCAAUUUGUAAAGAGUAAAUGAGAAGCGCUAAGCUCUAAUAUCAUGUAAUAUAUGGAUGAGACUUCUAUUAUUUAAAAAUAGAAGUACAUAUGUAUGAAGAAAAAAGAACUAAAAUCACUUAAAAUAAAUCUUUUCUUCAACUCUUAUAUAACAUAAGUCCAUGGUUUUAGACCAUAAAUUUUUAGUGCAAAUGUAUUAACAAUUAAUCUAACUAUUAACAUAUUGAUACUUGUCUUAUUAGACAAUAUGAUGGCUUAAUAGGCUACAAUAACUAUAAUAAUUAAGAUGGCUAUUCAACUAUGUGUCAGCUAAUAUUCAUAAUAUAUGGCUAGUUAUCAACUAUCUUCAUAAUGUAUAAUAGGAAUUAAUCAUAUAUGUAAAUACUCUUUUUAAAUACUCUUUUAACAACAUUAGUCAAAAAAAUAUUAUUGUAUAAAAAUAAUAUAACUAUUUAUCUAAAUAAUACAUAUAUAUAUAUUUAUAUAUAUAUAUAUAUAUAUUAAUAUAACUAAUAAAUACAUAUAUUAAUUAAGAUGUGAUAAAUCUUAUCUUGAGUAUUUUUUAUGUAAAUGUAAUAUAUUAUUUUUUUUUUAUAAUUUAAUAGAUUGAUUUCUUUUGACAUAGUCAACCAAUAUAUUGUCACGGCCAUAAUCAUGUAAGCUAAUAAUUACAUAUAGAAAUAGGUAGAAGUAAGUAAAAGUAGAUAAAAGUAAGUUAAUUCUAUAAUAUUUAAUAUGGAAGCUUCUUAGAAACUUCCUAGACGCUGCUUUGACUUCAUAGGUGUCUUUAAUUGACUUUUUGGAUUAGAAACGUGGUCAACAAGUUGACCAUGUGCCACACAUGUUGUUAGCUUGAAGAUCAAGCUAACUAUGUGGUCCACACGUAGAAAAACUUGCCUUGUAAGUCAAGGCAUGUGUCCUACAAAGUCAACACAUAUUGGAGGUCCUAUAGAACGUCGCCACGUAGCUCCUAGUUAGAUAGUAUAUAUAGAGACAAGAGUGAAGGCUUCUCCACUCUUGUCAACUUUUUUUUUGCUCCUAGUCCAGGUUCAAGAGUCUUUAGUUUCUUGUCUUGUGGUAAUAGUCAUUCCAGUUUCCUUUUAAUAUACAUACUUGUUUAUAUUUUGACUUAUUAUAUCGAGAUAGCCUUUUAGUGUAUAUUUUCCUUCAUCGAGUCUUUGUCCUUGACAGAUUGACAAGAGUACACUUACAAUAUCAGAGCUUUGUUUUUCUUCAGUAAGAAUGGAUUACCCCUUUGUCUUCACAAGACAUAAGCGUAUUAGAAGUUUGCAGAUUACCCACUUCUAAACUGAUAUUGUUCUUAGUAUCUUCUUUGUUAUCAAGUCUUUCUUUUCUUUUGUCUUGAGCAAUAUUUAACAAAUUUUUCUUCUUAGUGUCAUUAUAGCAGAGCUUGUUGAAAUGAAGAGUGCAAUGGCACAAAUGCAAGAGCAAAUGAGGGAAUUAAUGCUUGCGAUGCAUCAACUCAAUUCACCAACACAGGAAAGAACAAGAAUAGCAGAAAGUGGGGAUAUAGAGAUGAUCGGAGCUGCUUCAAUAUCUACAACAAAUCACGUUCCUUCCCCAAUUGUACAACACCCUGUAAGCACUAGAGAACCAAGAAUUGCCUUACCCGAGAAAUUUGAUGGUACGAGAUCAAAGUUUCGAGGGUUCAUCAAUCAAGUACAAUUGGCAAUUGAACUUCAACCGCAAAGCUAUCCAACUCCAGGAUCACAAGUCAGAUUUAUUGGCACUCUACUUUCUGGUUCUGCAUUAUCGUGGUUUUCGUCUUUUCUUGAACAACAAAAUCUAAUAUUGGAUAAUUUGGAAGCUUUUUUGGCAGAGUUGAUCUAUGUAUGGUGAACACGAUGCAACUCGUGUUGCAACAAAUAAGAUCCAAAUUCUGCGACAAGGAAAUCGCUCAGUAACAGUGUAUGCUUCACAAUUUUGACAACUUGCAAUUGACAUCAAGUGGGAUGAUGCUGCACUCAUCAGUCAAUUUCUUUAUGGAUUGCAAUACGAAGUAAAGAAAUUGAUGCUCAACUUACCUGAUCCUCAAACUUUGAGUCAAGCAAUCGAUUUUGCGGUAAAAUGUGAUAAUCGACUUCUUGAAUUUCGAUCCGAAAAUCAUUCACGGUGUUGUAUUACGUGCUUUCCUGCUCGAGAACGCGCCGGGCAUCUGGCUGUAGAAGGUAGUAUGGAGAUCCGCCGAUAGUCAAGCAGUCUAUCAGUUUUUACUGCUGGAAUAUAAUCGACUGCAAGAAUACACCGUAAAUCUUUACUGAUGCCCUUCAACUGCUUGUCGAAGUCCUUUUUUUUUGCCCCAGUCGGUAGGUCUCUAGACGUUACACAGAACCCCGAACAACCCAAACUGUUAAUCUUCAAUACCCCUUUGUACUUACGAUCUUGUAUCCACUGACUGUCUUGUUAGAUUAACCCAAUAAAUUUCAUUCACUCCGCAUACUCAAUCCUAUAAACACCCCUUUAAUCCUUCAAUCACAGACGUAACUCGAUUUUACAAAACAGUCAAGAGUAUUCAAACCCACUUCAUUUAAAAAUCAUGAUUCACCAUUACAACACUGACUUCAGCAGCGAUUGCCUCAGUCGUCCCAAAACUCUAUGAAGAAGAAAAAUCCAAAUUCUAUGUCUUUCCUUCCCCGACCCGAAGCAUGAAGCUCCUCUCUCUAAUUCCCUUGAUCUUCAAAAACCUCCAAUAAAAAACCGAACUGGUAACCUUGCAAAAGCUUGAAAACUCGCUCCUCCCCCGAUUCCCCCCCUAACCUUAUCCUCUGAAUUUCUUCAAUCUUCCGUCUUAGAUCCGGAAUUGGCUCCCACCUCAAGCUUGGAUUCGAAAUUGGCUCUCGCCGUCAAGCUUUCUCCUCCGUUUUUACCUUUAAGAAAUCUAUUUACCGAAAACAACGUUCCCUGAAACGGCACAAAGAACAGGACACCCUGAAAAAUAAUCGAACCUCGUAAUCGGGACCACAUUGAGUCGCCCGACCAAUUCAGGUCCUAUAUUGGGAAAGAUGCCCGUAGUAACCUGGAUGUUUCCGUAAUUGGGUCAAAUUGGUCCUCGCGUCAGAUUGGCUAAGACCCGUAGUAAGACCUGGAUUUCCCAUAAUUAGACUGCAUUGGAUUGACCGGCCAAUUCAAGUCUCAUAUUGGAUAAGAGGACCCGGAUUGGAUUCUUGAAAUUGGAUCCAAUUGGCUCUUCGAACUCGUCGUGUGAAUUGGUCCUUCUCUUCCUGCUGACUCCCGUUAUUGGAAUCGAACGGAGCAUUUCAGUAUGCCCCGGCUGACUGUAACGGAGUGACUGAACCUGACCACUCAGUAUUUGUACUGGAGUUGAUCGAUGCUCCCAAUAUUCGAGGUAACUGAAUAUUAAUAAAAUUCCCCUUUCUUUUUAUUUUCACUGUAUACUCAUGUUACAACACGACAUCCACCCUCUCUGAACCUGUGCAUCCUCCGGUAUGCACCAAUUUACCCAAUUGCGGUUUGAUUCAGAAUAUAUCUCCUACGUCUUUGUCCAGUUUGUCUUCGUCACCUUCAUUAUCCAUAUCACUUUCAUCUUCUUGCUGCGGAAUCUUUGUACCUUCAUUAAGGUCUUCCAUAUUCAUCUCUGCGUAUCUUCGUUUAAAUAUUUUUACUCGCUUCCCUGCAAUUGGUAUUUUCAAUUUUGUACCAUCUAACUCCCGUAAUGAGUAAGUCGCAUUAUCAUGAACAGUUGUUAUAACAUAUGGUCCAAACCAACGUUUUGAAAAUUUCCGCAAAGUACUAUGUUGAUUAUCCAGACUAUUGUCAUAAACAAGUACCCAGUCACCUUCCUCGAUUGCUUUUGGUCUCAAUCGAUGUUGCUUAUCGAAUCGCGCUUUGUUUUGUAACCUUGCUCUUUUUAACCUUUCCAAUGCUAUCUGGACAUCUUCCGUUCUUUGCUCCAAUUGUCGAAUCCUAAUAGCCAGAAGUUCUUCUCUUGUCAAUCCAUCUUCCCAUGGUAGCAUACUCCAAGUAAGUACCUUUUCUUCAAUCGGCAUAAUUGGUUUUUGACCUGUCAUAAGUUCUACUGGCAUAUAUCCUAUCACUGAAUUAUGUGUUGUUCGAUCAGCCCAUAAUGCAAAUGACAAAAGCCGUGGCCACUCUUUAACCUUCCCAUUACAAGCUUUAACCAAUGCUUUCACAAUCGGCGGGUGACCGCGUUCGCUUUUCGCAUUCCCUUCCGGAUUAUAAGCAGUAGUCAGUGAUAGUUUAACUCCACAUUUUUCAAAGAACUUACGAGCUUCUUGUGCAUUUAAUUCUCCACGAUCUGCAAUGAUUUUUCCUACGCACCCGUAACGGCAAAUGACAUCUUCAAGCAAAAACCUACAAAUCCCCUCUGUAGAUUUUGUCCUCAAUGCUCUUCCUUCUACUAGAUUUGAUAAAUCUUUACGAGCUAAAACCAAAUAUCUCAUCUGCCAUAACCCAACCGGCAUAAUAACCAAAUCAACAACCCAUUUAAAAUGAAUAGCCAGAGGAUACGUAGGAUGAAGACCAUCUCGAUGUCGGAUAUUAGAAUACGAUUGACAGAUUUCACAUGACUCUACAAAUGAGAGCACAUCUCGAUACAUAUUUUUCCACCAAUAUCGUUCCUUGAGUUUAGCAAAAGUAGCCCAGAUUCCUCUAUGCCCUGCCCAUAAACUAUCAUGAAACUCCUUUAAUAAUUUUAGUUUUUCUUCCCUUUUGCCUAUCACUCGUUGUGGCAUCUCAAUUCCUUUCUUCGGUCUCUUCCAUAAGAAUCCAUCUCGAAGUAAAAAUCCAUAUGCUUUUUUUCUUAUUUGUUUGAAUUUUUCUGUAGACCAAUUCCCCUGCUUAGACAAGGUAUUCAAAUAAUGACCAAUAUCCAAUAAUUCUCCUUCAUAAGAUUCUUCAAGAAAUAGCUUGUCUUCUCUGUUGAGAUUUGAUAUUGAAUAGAAUUUCAAUCCGACAUCAUCAAUGUCUUCAACCAUUUCGUCCUCCCUCUCGUAUCUUGCUCGAGAUAGCAUGUCUGCUACUAAAUUGUCCUUUCCAGUGAUAUGCUUAAAUUCUGGAUUUAGUGACUUAAUAUAAGCAAUCCAUCUCAACAUUGCAAUAUCUGGCGUUGAACAGUUAAUAAUCAUUCCAAGCAAUGGCAAGCAAUCUGUUUCAAUUACUACUACUGCCCCAAUCAAAUAGUCCUUUUCAGCUUUCAUAGCCGAAACGACUCCCCAAAGUUCUCUAUUGACUUGCGAAUAUGCACGCUGACGAAUACUUAAAACUUUAGCCCCAAAUCGAACUGCAAAUCUACUCCCAUUCGAAUCAUCUUGAUCCACCGCCCAUCCAACGGCAAUUGGACUAGCGUCUACAGUAAGAAUCACUAGUCUAUUGCACUUAUAAUCAACCUUCCUCAAUAUUGGAGGUGACAUCAAUAAUUUCUUCAAUCUUUGCAUUGCCUGAAUAUGCCUUUCUUUCCAUUCAAAUCGGUAAUCUUUGCGUAACAGUUCAUAUAAUGGAUCCGCUAUGUGAGCAAAAUGAGGGAUCCAGAUUCGAUAAAAUACACAUGCAUCCAAAAACCUGCGAACCUCUGUUAAAGAACCACAAUCCUCUUUCAUCCUUCCAAUUGCAUCAACUUUAGUCGGAUCUGGUUUUCUUUCGUAAGAUCCGCAUAAAUGUCCAACAAUUACAACCUCUCGCACUCCAAAUACGGACUUCAUACCCGAUAAUGUAAGAUGAACUUCUCCAAGCCGAGUUAAAAUCUUUUCACAAUCUUGUAUAUGAUCAACAACAUAUCUGCGACACUCCCUCGUAUCUAAAGUUUCAUCCUUGUCUCCUUCUUUGCACCUUUUUAUAGGAACAUCAUUCAGAAAAGGCAUAGUCUUUUCCGGAAUAAAAUCUCUCAAUACCUUAUUCAUCCCAUUCAUCAUAUGCGCAACCGAGUUAGUCGCGCCUUGAGGAAGAGUGCACAUUCUAACCAAUCCAAGCGGUGUCCUCAUCGUUGUCAUAUCUCUACUUCCUUCGGCAAGUUGAAAUUGAUCAUAACCUGAAUACAAAUCACCCAUUGAAUAGAUCGCCCUUCCAGCAAACGCCUCAGCAAAUUCAUCCACAAUAGGUCCAAUUCCUGCAUUCAUGAUAGUUACAGCAUUCACCGGCUGCAUAUCUUGAAUAAACCGUAGUGACCCAUUCUUCAUAGGUACCGUAAACCAUCGACUAGAAAACGGUGCAAAUGAAGGUUCUAAUAUUUUCAUCUUUAUCUUUUCUUUUAAUAGUUCGACCAAUUUAGGUAAAUGUGCCCUCGGUACUGGAAUCGGUCUUAGAUUCUAAGGUACAUGCGGUACAGUGAAGAUAACCAUAGGUGUUAUAAUAUUUGGAUCCACACACCCAAUUUCAUGAGAUUCGAAGGCAAACAAUCUACCUUGUUUAGCCAACAUCUUUUUGAAGCAAGUAAUUUCCUCCGGCAAUAAAGAACCAUCAGAACCAAUCUUCAAUUCUUCAAAAGUCUCUUCAGUAAACUGAUGUCCAAUACUCAUUGGAUCUCUUAAACUUGCUUCUUUUGAUGCUUCUCCCAUUUGUUCUUUAGAAUCCUCUGGUAAUGGUCCAGCAACAGGCUUUACCUUCUUAUUUGCCGUUUUAUAUCUCGUCUCUACUGUGACUUCUGGUGCUUGAAAAGAUUCAAGCAUGGUAUAAACCUCUCUCGAAUGAAUCUCAACAAUCUUAUCAUUAUCCCCUAACCCAAUAGAUGUAAUCAAUUCCAAUGAAUCUUCCAGUCCAUUUUCUUCAUAAACACCCAAAAUCCUCUCAUCAUCUUGCAAUGUACCUAUCUUGCGUAACUGUCCUUCAAUAUCAUAUAAUCUUUUUCUUUCUUUUCUUUUAAAAUCAUCAACUUUCUUAUACAUAAUAUUUCCAUUCUCUAAUAUACCAAUAAAACUCGCAUCAAAGGCACCUUCAUCUCGCGAGAGUACCUCCUCUUUUGUACCUCCAUAAUCUCGCUUUACAGUGGCACCUCUCCAAAAUCCUUAAAUCCUUCAACAAUCUUUGGCAAUGGUUUCUCCCUCAACCUAUCUCGAUUCCGUUCAUGGUUAGGAGGUACUGUUAGAAAUUGUACAGCUUUCCUCCCAUCUUCGCUCCGUAUCCUUGCAUAAGCAGAACCAUCGUCAAGUACCUUUGUUUCCAUCCGUGUUGCCGUGAUAUAAGGUUGUCUUAAAAUCAACGGAUAAGACGUUGUAUCUUGAACGAAGAAAUAUUGCUCCGUCGCAACAUCCCCAAUCCGAAUUUUGACAUCUGGACAAGCUCCAUAUAAUUCGCCUCGUGUGUUAUUAGCUGCUCGUAUUGCCCAUCCAUGUUCCAUAUCAAUUGGCCAUUUUUGCUUCUUAUAAAGAUCUUUAGACAUGAGAUUUAUUUCAGAACCAUGGUCCACCAAAGCAACUAUUGGUUCUUCUAUAUCUCCUACCUUCACCAAUACCUCAGUAGUUGCCCUUGCCCAAUGCUUUCGAGUAUAAUGGCUCAAAGUUUCCAUUUCCUUGUCACUAGAAUCUUCGAAAUGUACUCGCUGAUUAUACCCAUUCUUUUCAUUUGUUAGUUGCUUGUAACCAAUAUUAACCUCUUCUUCAUCUCUACAUAUUCUUGCAUCAAUAGCAUGACUCAUUCCAGUUUCGCUCAUUAAUUGCCUCUUUUGCUUAAUGCUGUCAAUGAUAACAUCAUAAAACUCCUUCUUUGCAAUUCCCAAGACUUCUUUCAAUGUGAAUUCCACCUUAGCAUUUAAUAUACGUUCUUCCAGCACUCCUUUCAAAUUUGUUGCCGCUUCAAUGUCAGAAAGUAGCUUAUAAGCAAUUGAUUUGCCCUUAUCUUUUGUCUCCGUUGUUUUUUCUCCCAAUGAUGCUGAGGUAUCCUUUACAGGCAAUUCUUGUGAAGCUGCCUCCCGAGCCUUGUCUCCUCGAGUUUGCCUUUUAAAAGAAUUUCCUUCUCUACUAUCAUCAAAAUUUCCUCGUCUUUUUUCUUCCAUCAAAGCUUCAUGUUGGCUCUUAGCAAUAUAUGCAUGAACUGAAAGAGACUCAACAGGAUCCUCCCAACCUGUUCUUCCUCGUAUUGUAGCUGCAGUUCUCAAUAACGCUUCUCGAGGUAAUUUCCCUUCUUGCAUUGUAGAAACGGCAGAAGCCCAAAACUCACUAGUUUCCGUACUUCCACCAAUUUCAUCAUCUACUCUAGCACCAUAACUUGCACUUUCUCGUACUACUGUUUCAUGCUCUUUUAAGUAAUCUUGAACCAAUGCUCUCAUUCCUCCCUUGCCAAAAUUGGUUUGAAGAAGAUCCUCCCUAUCUUUCAAUGCUAUCUUUUCAUCUUUCCAGCAAAUAAUUCCCUGCCGUAUCAUAUUUUUAAAUUCAUUGCAAUCUUUUCUAGUGUGUGAAGCAUCAUCACACCAAAUGCAUCUUUGUACAUAUCUUUGUUUUGAAACAUUCUUCGAAUUGUUUAUAGAAGUAUUCUCUUCAAGUCUUGCCAAUUUGAUUUGAAGAUCUCGCAUUCCUCGUAUAAUUUCUUCCAUACCCAUAUCUGCUUUCUUUGACAAGGAUGUCGAAGGUUCAACUGUAGGCAUUGUCGGUGGUGUAGUACGUACUGGAGCUUUGGGUGCUUGUACUGUUUUCGGAAUAUUGCUCCUAUCCUUCCUCCUUUCUUUUUUUGUAAGCAACCCCACCGCAUCUUCAACGUUCUUCCACUUCGUUGUCAAUCCUUCAUCUUCUUCUUUGUCUUCAAGAAGGGGUUCUAAUUUCUCUUGCAAUUCUCCAUCAGCAGCUUGAAGAAAUAGAUCAACUUUGUUCGGCUCUAAUGUCAAUUUUUCUACCUUCGAUAAUUGAAAGUACUGCCUCUCAAAUUCCCUUAGUAGCUCUGUUGCUUGCAAAUUCUUAUUGGGCCGUUCAAUCCAUCCCAGAAACAGCUUCUUAGUAACGCGAUCAGCAUCUUCCAAGAAAUAUUCGUCUUUCAAUGCAUGUGAAAAAUCCUCCCAUGAAUUCCCACAACGAUCCGUAAUCGAUGUAAUGUGGUCCCUUAUCUCCGGUAUCGUGGCAAGUCCAAAUAGUGCAACCAUUUUCUUCUCAGAAACCCGAUUUAAUUCCAUUUCACGAACAUAACAUCUUAAAUACCUUGAAAUAUUCCUCCCAUCAAAUUGAUCAAUUUUAUUGACCACUGCUUGCAAUGCUUUGGUUGCCAAAGCUUCCUUUCGAUCAUUGCUUUGCUGUUGCUGCAUUGACAAUGAGAAGGCUUGAAACAAACUAGCAAUAGACGGAUCCAUGUGCAUAUCUUGUCCUUAAGAAGACUCCCCACCAGAAACUUCUCUCAAAAAUCCUUCAAAAUUUUUAUUUUCGUUUUCCAUAAAAAUAAAGAUAAAAUCAACCGAAAUCCAAUACCUUCUACCUCAAGCUUUCACGUCGGGUUCACCACUUAUGUCGUAAUACGUGCUUUCCUGCUCGAGAACGCGCCAAGCGUCUAGCUAUAGAAGAUAGUAUGGAGAUCCGCCGAUAGUCAAGCAGUCUAUCAGUUUUUACUGCUGGAAUAUAAACGAAUGCAAGAAUACACCGUAAAUCUUUACUGAUGCCCUUCAACUGCUUGUCGAAGUCCUUUUUUUUUGCCCCAGCCGGUAGGUCUCUAGACGUUACACAGAACCCCGAACAACCCAAACUGUUAAUCUUCAAUACCCCUUUGUACUUACGAUCUUGUAUCCACUGACUGUCCUGUUAGAUUAACCCAAUAAAUUUCAUUCACUCCGCAUACUCAAUCCUAUAAACACCCCUUUAAUCCUUCAAUCACAGACGUAACUCGAUUUUACAAAACAGUCAAGAGUAUUCAAACCCACUUCAUUUAAAAAUCAUGAUUCACCAUUACAACACUGACUUCAGCAGCGAUUGCCUCAGUCGUCCCAAAACUCUAUGAAGAAGAAAAAUCCAAAUUCUAUGUCUUUCCUUCCCCGACCCGAAGCAUGAAGCUCCUCUCUCUAAUUCCCUUGAUCUUCCAAAAACCUCCAAUGAAAAACCGAACUGGUAACCUUGCAAAAGCUUGAAAACUCGCUCCUCCCCCGAUUCCCCCCCUAACCUUAUCCUCUGAAUUUCUUCAAUCUUCCGUCUUAGAUCCAGAAUUGGCUCCCACCUCAAGCUUGGAUUCGAAAUUGGCUCUCGCCGUCAAGCUUUCUCCUCCGUUUUUACCUUUAAGAAAUCUAUUUAUCGAAAACAACGUUCCCUGAAACGGCACAGAGAACAGGACAGCCUGAAACAGAAUCGAACCCCAUAAUCGAGACCACAUUGAGUCGCCCGACCAAUUGAGGUCCUAUAUUGGGAAAGAUGCCCGUAGUAACCUGGAUGUUCCCGUAAUUGAAUCAAAUUGGUCCUCGCGUCAGAUUGGCUAAGACCCGUAAUAAGACCUGGAUUUCCCGUAAUUAGACUGCAUUGGGUUGACCGACCAAUUCAGGUCUCAUAUUGGAUAAGAGGACCCGGAUUGGAUUAUCAAAAUUAGAUCCAAUUGGCUCCUCAAACCCGUCGUGUGAAUUGGUCCUUCUCUUCUUGCUGACUCCCGUUAUUGGAAUCGAAUAGAGCAUUUCAGUAUGCCCCGGCUGACUGUAACGGAGUGACUGAACCUGACCACUCAGUAUUUGUACUGGAGUUGGUUGAUGCUCCCAAUAUUCGAGGUAACUGAAUAUUAAUAAAAUUCCCCUUUCUUUUUAUUUUCACUGUAUACUCGUGUUACAACACGACAAUGGGAACUUCAACGUUAUUACUCAAUGGCAACAUCAACAUCUUUGCCAAAUGUACAUUCGAAAGUAGAAGACAUACAAAUUGACGCGGUAUGUUUUAAACUCCUAACUGAGCAAGAAAAGAUUCGUCGUCGUCAAGAAGGAUUAUGUUUAUAUUGCGGAGAACCUAAGCACACUGCUCAACAUUGUCCAAAGAAACGACGCAACUAUAAAAUGAGGGGUACGGCGGUCAAAGAAGACAACAUGUCGAAAAACGGAUUCGUCUAGCUACAAUAGGGACCAUGCAGUUGGAACCUUAUACAAUUCCUAAUGAAGGUCCUAUCCUCUCCUCAGAACCCUCUCCUUGUUUUAUAAUAGACUUAUAUUUAGGACCUAAGAAUUACAAAGCCUCUGCUUUUUUAGAUUCGGGAGCCUCAGCAUGUUUUUUAGAUGAAUAAUUUGUUAAAAGUCGUAAAAUACCUUUUAUACAGAAACCUAAACCAGUACAUGUAGAAGUCAUAGAUGGUCGUCCCUUGUCUUCUGGAGAUGUCACUCAUGAAACUCAUCCUAUAAAAGUAACAAUAGACGGUCAUGAUAGCUACAUAGCUUUUAACAUAAUUAAAUCCCCAUCCAAUCUAGUUAUUUUAGGUUUAUCCUGGCUAGAAAAAUAUAACCCUCGAAUAGAUUAGAAUUUGAGUAAACUUGACUUUUCCCAGAGCGUUAUUAAUAGUUCUACCAACCAAGUAAAAAAUUAUAAGUUUAAUAUAAUAAAACCCGUACUGAUAGGUGCAAAAGCAUUUAUACACACAGCAAAAGAAAGAUCAACUUUUGCUAUUUAUGCUGCACCUAUUUCUGAAAACGUAAAGACUUCAAGUGGCAUUCCAAGUCAAUAUCAGGAGUAUCAAGACGUUUUUGAGAAAAAGAAUGCAGAUAUUCUUCCUGAGCAUCGCCCAUAUGAUUGUUCAAUCGACCUCAAGGAAGGAACUCAGCCACCAUUUGGACCAAUUUACAGUUUAUCGCAAGAUGAGUUGGAUGAACUCAAAACAUAUAUUGACGAGAAUUUAGCGAAGAAUUUCAUACGCCAUUCAAAAUCUCCAGCAGGAGCUCCAAUUCUAUUCGUAAAGAAAAAAGACGGAUCUUUACGAAUGUGUGUUGAUUAUCGAGGACUCAACAAGAUCACAAUCAAGAACAGGUAUCCAUUACCUUUGAUAUCAAGACUCCUUGACCAGUUGAAUCAAGCUAAGAUCUAUACAAAAAUAGAUCUAAGAGGAGCAUAUAAUCUAGUACGGAUCAAAGAAGGAGAUGAAUGGAAGACUGCGUUUCGAACCAGGUAUGGACAUUUCGAAUAUAAUGUCAUGCCCUUUGGACUCACAAAUGCACCAGCUGCUUUUCAACAUCUCAUGAAUGAUGUAUUUCGUGAAUUCUUAGACAAUUUUGUCGUCUGCUAUCUAGACGAUAUCCUGAUCUAUUCUAAGAACGUCAAAGAACAUGAAAUACAUGUUCGUCAAGUAUUACAAAAACUUAAAGAUGCAGGAUUGUACGCCAAGAUGGAAAAGUGUAUAUUUCACACUACUCAAGUUGACUUUUUAGGAUACAUCAUUUCAAAUGAUGGUCUCAUGAUGGAUUCUAAGAAAGUCCAAACAAUCAUAGAUUGGAAGAUUCCAAGGACAGUAAGAGAUGUCCAAUGUUUCUUGGGAUUUGCCAAUUACUAUCGGAUCUUCAUCAAAGAUUUCUCACAAGUUACAGCUCCACUUGCACGCUUGACUAGUAAAGAUAAAUUCCAAUGGAAUCAAGAAGCGGAAGCAGCAUUUGAAGCCUUGAAGACAUCGUUUGUCUCUGCACCAGUCUUAUAUUGUGUUGACUUUUCCAAGGCAUUUUUUAUGAAAACAGAUGCAUCAGAUUUUGCCUUGGGUGCAGUUUUAUCACAAAUGGGAACAGAUGACAAACUUCAUCCGAUAGCUUUUCAUUCCAAAAAAUUCUCAACAGCCGAGAUCAAUUAUGAGAUCCACAAUAAAGAACUUCUUGCAAUCAUGGAUUCCUUUCAAGAAUGGCGUCAUUAUCUAGAAGGCGCUUCUAGUCCAGUCACUGUGUAUACAAAUCACAAGAACCUCGAGUAUUUCAUGUCAGCACACAUGUUGAAUCGGCAUCAAGCUCGUUGGAAUAUGUCUUUGUCAAGAUUCGAGUUCAUUAUCACUUAUCAGCCAGGAAAACAACAAGGUUUGUCCGAUGCCCUAUCUAGACGUUCUUAUUUUGCACCAAAAGAAGGAGAUGUAGCUUUUGAGCAACAAAGAACGGUCCUCUUGAAACCGGAGCAAUUUCAUCUUCGAGCAAUGAAAUCAACAUUGACGGUUGAUUCAACUUUUCUCAAGCAAAUCCAGUCCAGUAUGUCCUCAGACCCUCUUGUUUAUGAUAUCGAGAAUAAUUCUUCCAAGUCUCAUGAUCCUUCUAAGUUCGAGUUCAAGAAUAAUCUAUUAUAUUUUGAAGGACGCCUAUAUGUUCCAGAAGGAGAAGCACGUUUACGUGUUCUUCAAGCACAUCAUGACUUUCCAGCAGCAGGGCACUUUGAAUAUAAUAAGACUUUGGAACUCAUAUCAAGAGAUUUUUGGUGGCCACAAAUGUAGAAGUCAGUCAAAGACUUUGUACAAUCAUGUGAUAUUUGUUCAAGAUCAAAAAUUCCUCGUCAUCGACCUUACGGACUUCUUCAGCCAUUACCUAUCCCAGAACAACCAUGGUCUUCUGUUUCUAUGGAUUUCAUCACAAAUCUUCUAAGUUCAAGAUCUUAUGAUUCUAUAUUUGUGAUAGUAGAUCGUUUCACCAAGAUGGCACAUUUUAUGCCAUGUACAAAAUCUAUCACAGGUGAAGAAACAGCUAAGCUUUUCAUUGAUAAUAUCUAUCGCUAUCAUGGAUUACCUAAAGAUAUCAUAUCGGAUAGGGGAACUCAAUUUGUGUCAAGAUUCUGGAGGACCCUUUUCAAGAUUUUAAAAAUGGACAUAAAGCUAUCUUCGGCUUUCCAUCCUCAAACUGAUGGACAAACAGAGCACGUAAACCAAGUCUUGGAGCAAUAUUUAAGGUGUACUAUCAACUAUCAACAAGAUGAUUGGACAACCUUUCUGCCAUUGGCAGAAUUUGCUUAUAAUAAUACGGUACAUUCUUCCACGGAACAAACACCUUUCUUUGCCAAUUAUGGCUAUCAUCCACGACUUGAUACUUUUGAUUUUUCAAAAGUUGAUAAUCCUGCAGCAGAAGAUAUGGCAAAUCGGUUGUCAGAGUUACAUGCAAUAAUGAAGACACAAUUGAAGGAAGCUCAAGAACGACAAAAGAUAAACGCAGAUCUAUAUCGUAAGGAGUAACCACAAUUCAACGUGGGUGAUAAGGUAUGGCUACUUUGUCGCAAUAUCAAGACUACUCGACCUUGUGACAAGUUGGACUAUCGUAGGCUUGGCCCCUUUUCUAUUUCUGAACAGAUCAACCCAGUUGCAUAUCGGUUACAUCUACCGGAGUCAAUGAAGAUCCAUCUUGUAUUCCACGUGUCUCUUCUUGAACCAUAUAAGACAAUGGAUAUACAAGGAAGAAGACAAAUGCCACCACCUCCUACAGAAGUAGAUAAUAAUGAAGAAUUUGAAGUGGAAGAGAUAUUAGACUCAAGGCGGCGCCGAAAUAAGCUGGAAUAUUUUGUUCAUUGGUGCGGAUAUGAUAUUAGUGAACGCACAUGGGAGCCAUCCAGGAAUCUAACAAAUGCAUCAGCUAAAGUCAAAGUUUUUCAUCAACGACAUCCAUCAAAACUAAGAUGAAAAUCUCUCUUAUAAAAGAGACAAGAUUGAGGCAAGAUAACAUUCAAUUUCCUAUCCUUGUUUGUAACUUCUUUGCAUUUGUGACGCUAAUUAGAUGGAGAGCUAACAACCAGCGGAUUCAACUCAAGAACCUUCGUUUGCUGACCUGCUGGACGAGAUAUUACGAUUGUCACAACCUUCAAGACGACGCAAUCGAGAUGAAGAUCUUCAAGAACGACAUGUUCUUCCUCGAAUAGAUGGUGAGAUACAACGUGUUUGGUAUCACGAUUUGGGAAGGGACUCCCGAUGUUUGGUGAUUUUGCUAGAGGUAGGAACAACUCCUGAUGGUGUUCCAAAUAUUCUAUUCGAAGGAAGUUACGAAGGCCUCAACAAUGAUCAAAUAAUUGGGUGGUCUUCCCGCCCUGGUAUGGGACACUACCGAUGGUUGAGAGGCCCUAUCAAUCAUCUUCGAAGAGAACAGAGAUCAGAGUAUGUGGCGAAUACAAUUCGUCGCAUCAUAGAUUUCCUCAACAUAUGAUGACCGCUCCUCGUGGAACUCGUCUCUAGAAGGGGGGGUAAUGUCACGGCCAUAAUCAUGUAAGCUAAUAAUUACAUAUAGAAAUAGGUAGAAGUAAGUAAAAGUAGAAAAAAUAAGUUAAUUCUAUAAUAUUUAAUAUGGAAGUUUUCUAGAAACUUCCUAGACGCUGCUUUGACUUCAUAGGUGUCUUUAAUUGACUUUUUGGAUUAGAAACGUGGUCAACAAGUUGGUCAUGUGCCACACAUGUUGUUAGCUUGAAGAUCAAGCUAACUAUGUGGCCCACACGUAGAAAAACUUGCCUUGUAAGUCAAGGCAUGUGUCCUACAAAGUCAACACAUAUUGGAGGUCCUAUAGAACGUCACCACGUAGCCCCUAGUUAGAUAGUAUAUAUAGAGACAAGAGUGAAGGCUUCUUCACUCUUGUCAACUCCUUUUUUGCUCCUAGUCCAGGUUCAAGAGUCUUUAGUUUCUUGUCUUGUGGCAAUAGCCAUUCCAGUUUCCUUUAAAUAUACAUACUUGUUUAUAUUUUGACUUAUUAUAUCGAGAUAGCCUUUUUGUGUAUAUUUUCCCUCAUCGAGUCUUUGUCCUUGACAUAUAUGUAACUUAUUAUUACAAAAUAAUAAAAUUAAUUAAUUACAAAUUUAGUAGUUUCUUUUUUGGCUAUAUAUAAAUUUAUAAUAUGUAAUAGAUGUAUAUAUUGGAUGUCGAAUGUAUGACAUAUUUAAAUUGUGUUAUAAAAAACUUAUUGCCAUCUCUUCUUAUACAAUAUUAAUUAAAACACUUUUUACAUUUAAUAUAUAUUAAUCCUUCUUGUAUUUAUUUGAAUAUUUUUUAUAAAUUAUAAUAAUUAUUAAUAUUUUAUUCUUUGAUGUCUUUUUUCUUAUUGUAUAAAUGAAAAACUUCAUUUAAUUAAAAAAUAGAUUGAGAAAUUUAUUCAAAUAUUGAAUUUUUUACUAUAUUUUAUUAACUGAUCUUUGUAUGUUGCAAUAUUCCAAAAUAAUUGGUAUUUACAACCUAAAUAGUAUUAUUAUUUUGAUUGAUUUAUUGAAUUUUAUAUUUAUUGAUAAAAUUUUCAAUUUAUAAAUUUAUAAAAAUAUUUGAGAUAAUUUAUAAUAAGUCCAUUUCAAAAAUGUAUAUAAAUACAAGUAUAAUUAUAUUUAAAUCUAACUUAAUUAUCAAUUAUACAUCACAUCUAGCUAAAUCUUGUAUUUAAAUUAUGUGUAUUUUUUCUUUUACAAACCCUAUGCAAAAGUAGCACCUUCAAUGAUAUUUAUGUUUUUGUACAAGAAAUAUAUAUACCUAUAUAUAUAUAUAUAUAUCAAUUUUUCACAAUUAUACAUAUUCUAAUUACAAUCAUUUUCAAUCAUGUGCAAGAGGUAUAUAGAUUCUCAUAACCAACCAACUAGGAUUUGAUCGCCACCUACAAAUCUUCAAAACACGAUUUGAAGGCCACCUGUAAACACAAAAUAAAUGACCGAUUAAAGCCGUCAAUAAACAUGCACCUAGCAUAAGAUCUUGUUUCCAAACAGAUUUUCCAUCUAAUGAUUUCUUUCAGUAACUUCUUUAUCAUUUUAAAUACUUCUUCACCAGACGAAUGCUGUCCCAACGUUGCAGGUUGAGAAAUGGCACUCUAAUCCACAGAAUCAAAUCAAAAGAAGACUUAGCCUCUACGAAUGGCAACAUCAGUUGCACUUGAGUCGGUAAGUGAUCGGUACCGACCCGGAAUGGCAUUGGAUGUCACGCCAAGAAAUCUACGUCGAAGGUGUAAUCCGCCUAAUUGACAUCUAACGUUGGUUAAAUCUGCUGAUUCUCCGAAACAAACAAAAAAGGAAAAAAACAAAAAACAAAAAAAACACAGCAAAAAUGGUGGAAUGUGAAUUAGGUUUAAGAAACUUAAGCAGAUGAUGGAAAGUUGAGACGAAGGAGAUGAUCGAUCAAGGGAGGGUGAAGUUGCCGACCACUGUUCUGAUCAUGGACUCAGUUGUUGGAAUGUGAACGGCACUUCGGAUGAUGCUUGAAGUUCGAGAUUGUCCAGAUUGUCUGGAUUUCUUUCAAGGAGAUCAUCUUUUGACACCUCCUUGACUGCCUUUGCUGAUGCCCAACAUUCAGGAGAGGAUCAUCUACAAUCGUCAGACCAAUUUGCGUGACCAUUUGACGUUCGUUUGUCACAUUGCACUCAAAUCGACCACGAUGGAGAUUCAGCAGUUGUGAAAAUCUUUGACAAACCCUCUCUCGGAGCAUAACCUAGUGCAGCUGAGAUAUGCUCAAAUUUCGAAGCUCGCAGAUCGUGAAAGGAGGUGCGUAAUUUGAGAUAGGCCGAGGUGGACCUAACAAGGGAACAGUCCACAUUGCUUGAUUACCAACAACAUAUCGAGAAAGCAAGGAUAUCUCGAAUGAACAAAAAGUUAACCCUAACCAAAUCCAGCGCAACCCACAAACCGUAAUGGUUAAAUAAAACUUCGCAUCAUGCGGAACACCGGCGUACCCACACAGCGGACGCUUUCGAGCCUUGAAGACGAGGUAGAGAUUGGCAGAAAGGCGGAGACCAACAUAGAUCCGCAUCAAACUUGCGAAGCGUCUAACGUAAAGUGCAAUGGGAAGCAUAUCUGCCUGCGUGUAGCAGAUAAGGGAAGAAUCGGAAGCUCAUUUAUCUCGGCCUAUGACGAUGAGAGCUUUGAUUGUGUGCUUGCGAACGUCGUGACAACUACUGAGAUCCACUGGCUGUUGAUCGCCACAGAUUCCCUUGUCCCCUUUGGCAUUGCUCACGGCCCUCCUUGGUCAUCGCAGAUGCUUUCACAAGCGAUGUACGCGGCGCAAUCAGCUCAGGUUAACAUAUACAUCAGUUGGAUGGUUUCCAGUCUGUGCAAAGAUGCCGCUGGUCCCACUGGUCUACACAUUGACCGAGUAAAAACUUCAUUUUUGGGUUUACUCUUCGAUGAAGAACAAUCAAUGCUCGUCAGCUGAAAGAAAUUUGUGCUUCGACGAGAGGACGUAUCUGGCAGUCAGUGACAAUCAGGCGAAGUAAAUGUCCACACUUCCAAUUCAAUAUUGAAAUCUGAAACAGCAACUCUGCAACACCAACUAUUUUGAGGCUAUUUGUGCAAUUAAGUCGAGGUUGAUUGUUAAAAGCUUAUAAUCAUCGCCAGUGAUAACUUAAUAUCUUAUCGUUCUGUGGUGCGUUGGCAAUCACACUGUCUGGAAAAAUGUGAGUAAUUCGCUUCUGUGACCCCUGCUUAGACUGCUGAUUUUUUCUUAAAUUCUCACCGUUACUGCUCGUACAUCACAUCCCCGAGUUCUUUUUCUUUUUCUUCCCCGAUUUGAGCCUUUGUAGAGAUGCUCGCACAAACCCACUUUCUAGCAAAUUCUUUAGAUCAACAGUUGCGCUGCUUUCAUUAUGAUUUGCUGAGACGCUGAAGGAUUGCACCGUGCAAGACAAAUUCGUUGAGGAACAAACGGAGUGAAAUGGUCCAUGUCGUCCAGGAAAUACCCUAAUUUGUCUUGCUCCCUGGUCGAUGCCUAAACAUACAUGUGGCUGGGACAAAACGGCUUGAGUGACACAUGGUGGCGUUGGCGUAAAGGAAUCAAUCGUCUUAAUUUAGGAGGAAGGAUAUGGUGGGCCGACCAGCUACAGUUGGCAAUCCUUCUUUGACAUUGUUUUCUUGGUCCUCGCGACUGAUCAUCUGCUCCAAACCACAAUUUGCGUCCCACACUUGCAAGGUGAGAGGUGGGACGGGGGGACUGCCCGUCGCCGUAGUGCAGUCAACCCUCGAUGUAAGCACGAUCUCGUGUGCCUGUAGCUCAAUGCUUCAUUCUACUGUCAAUACUGUGUUUCAUUGUCUCUUGUCGCCGAUUCCCUGUAGUGGGUUUCCGGCUGUUCCUGCCAUCUUGUAGAAUUCUCCAUCUCUCCUCUUCCUGUUCUUCGAUCUCUGCUCUGUGCGUCUCAAGUUUUGGCCUGCUAACGAAUACUCGAGAAUAGGGCUUUGUGUUUUGUACAUAUAUUUCUGCACAGUUUGUAAAAAGGCUAGACGUAUUAAUCUUGAUUCUUUUAAGUGGAAAAGUUGGCAGGCGAACAUAGACAGGGGGCAUUGGCGCAUCGGUUGUCUUUCGUGACCACACCCUUAUGUGGAUCAACCAUUUUCUUCCGAUGCUACUCGUCUCUGUGCAGAGUUUGUAGUAUGUCUUUUCUUUGCAGGAAACACCGUUUGAAGGAGACACAGACUGGCUUGAAGGUGCCAGGUCCCAGCGAGAUCGUGAUGGCAGAAUCGGCGCAACGAUUUGCAAAGGCGAGCGUAAGUAAACGCACACAAGUAGACGCAAGGUUAGCAUUAGAUCCGGCUCUUCUUUCUUUGCCAUUCUCCUCUUCUACACGCAUUCAAAGGAUGAUAAAGCGUAGAGGUGAAUUCGCCAGCCAAUAUGAGUAUGAGAUUGAAUCCUCCAAGGACCAUUGGAGCGAGCUGGAAUCGAAAUUUGAUUUGAAUCAACCUGCCCUUGCGGACGUCAAAGUUCCCGAUGUUGUUGAGAAGCAACGUUCCAGGAGAUUUGGUCACUUUCGAAGAAAGCUUGGUGAAUUGUUCUCGCACUUGCGGCUUGGUAGAUUAUUCUCAUGUAAUUUUCAGUGUAUGCAGUGUGCAAACUGUGUAUCUGUAGAGGAUCAUCAGCACCACGUCAAUCACCUACAGUCUUUAGAAUCCUUAGAGCUUGAGGACGCUUCAGACUCCGAAAUCGAAGAGACUAACCGGGAAAUUCUUGAGAGGAUCAAGAAGCAGUGGGGCGGGUUCUUCUCGGAGAAAUGGGGUGAUAACCUAGUGCUCGGUCCCAAAAUUGCAGAGGGAGGGCAGGCAGAGAUCUUUGAAGUGGAAGGCGGCGUGGACGUCAUUCGAAUGGAAUUUGUGGUGAAAGCCUUCAAAAAGGGCUAUUCUCUGCGAUCUCUGGAAACACAAUGGCCGCACGGAAUGCUUCAGAGCACCCCUGAAGGCCACUUGAGUCUCGUCAAUUCCUCCAUCAUCUUCGCCGGAACGGUCGUGGAGGACGACAGGUUCGCAUUUGUGAUGUACAAAUAUUGGGGCGACCUGCGCAAGCUGAUUGAUAUCAAAAUGGAGCAGCGAAGCAACCAGGGGCCUCCUUUUCAAGAAUGGCAGGCCAUAUCUAUCAUGCUGCAGAUAGCGAAUGGGAUGGAGCAGCUGCACAGGAAGGGGAUCCUCCACAAGGACCUAAAGACGUCCAAUGUACUCAUCAAAUUGGAUGUGAAGAAGCGGAACCCUCCCGAUCCAAGGCAUGCUUCGGAAUUCUCUUGUGUUGUUGCGGAUUACGAAUGCUCCGUCGGUGUCAUGGGGACAGGCUUCUGGAGGGCGCCCGAGGUUUUGGUCGCAGUAAUGGACGGUAACCUCGACCCAAGCGUGUUCACAGAAGAGGUAGAUGUGUACAGCUUCGCCAUGACGUGCUAUGAAAUCCUUACAGGAUGCAUACCUUUCGAAGACUUACAUGACAGCUAUUACGAUGCUGUUCUGAAUGGCCGGAGACCGGAGCUGCCGCAUCCAAUGAAUUCUCGAUUAACGGAAUUGUUGUGCAGAUGCUGGCACUCUAAUCCUUUAGAGCGGCCUUCCUUCGAAGAAAUUAGGAUUGCACUAGAAACCAUACAGCGAAGCUGCAUUGUAAUCUCAGAAACUCCCUCUCCUAAUGCAAGUCACAGAUCGAGUUAAGAACAUGUUUUCGGAAGAGCCCAAAUUAGCUUAGGUUGUAUUUUUGCAAGCUGUGUGUUACCCACCAAAUUCACAACGAUCUGAAGCGCGGUAAGAGAAGAGCUAACGAGAAGCAGAAGAAGAAGAAGAAGCUUUCUCCAUAGUUACCAUUUGCGAGCAAUUGCCACCAGCCUGUGCAAAAUCGCGAACUUCACCCUGUGGUGACGAAUUGGACGAGAGUUUCCAACCUAAAACCGGCUCGCAUGUUUGGGUUCACAAGCUCCAAGUCUCUCAUUUUCUCCAAUCCUUCUGAGUGCGUGGUUAUCCUUCCCCCAUUUCUGCGAAACUUAUCCUCACGCGCAUGCUUUUUCCCCUGUCGUUAGGCUGCCUUUCCAAACGAGAGCAUCACAAACAAUGACGCCGGAAAACGCCAAAAUGGUACCAGAAAAGCGAUCAGCAAAUUUGUAGAUUGUGGUGCCAGUUUUUGUCGAAGUCCGCAAACAACUUGUCACGUUUCGAUCGCGAGGAUCCUCGUUACUCUCAACGAAAGCCGCUCCGGCUAAGCCCUAAUUUCUAAACCCUUCGUAUAGGAAGGGUGAUUUAUAUUGAUUUUUAUAUAUAUACAUAUAUAUAUAACCAAGUAUGAUAUGGAUACAUAUAGUCGUUUUUGCAACAUAUUGAAACAUAUUACAAUAUCAGAAUUUAGGGUAAAUUUUUUGUAUGAUUAUUAUUUUUUUUAAAUGUCUUCAAAAAAAGUUAUUCUUUUCAAAAUUAGGAUAAAAGUGAUGUCACAUGUUUCCUUUGUGACAAGCUUUUCCUCUUUAUAUGAUUUUUAACCACUUGUAUCUUAAUUUAUAUUUAGUAUAUAUUUUUAAAUAUAUAUAUAUAUAGUAAAUACUUUAGCAUAUAUUUUAGGUGUUUUUUAGGAGCACAUGCAAAUAACACUGACAAAAUUAGUCUAGAAUUUUAAAGAUUAUGUUAUGGAUUAAAGAAGAAAAUGAAGCCUUUUAUUUAUUUUUAUUUUUUUAAUCUAUUAUAAAAACAUUAAAAUUUUAAAUUCCAAGCAAGGAAAUUAACAAAGUCUAAUAGAAUAGGACUUUAAAACACAUUAUUUAAAAAUAUAUAUAUAUAUAUAUAUAUAUAUAUAUCAAAGACAAAAAUAGCUUCAUGUUGGUUGUCAAAUGUAGUUUGUAAAACAAAAGACACAUCUCUACCUAUGAUUGUGUAUAGAUGGGAGUAUUAUAUGAUAAUAUUGCCUUAUAAUCAUAUCUUUUGCCUGACAAUGUUCAUGGGAUAAUAUAAAUAUGAUAGAAAUUAUUAAAAACCAAGAUAAAAGAUAAAUAUAAGGUUUUGAUGCAAACAAUGCAAUUUAAAGCAAUGGAAUCUAAAUAAUUAAGUAUCUAAGCAAGACUUACAUUCUACCUACUACAAAUACCAAAGUUGGAUUAUUAUAUAAUUUAUAAGAAUGAAAAAAAUACAAAAAUAUAAAAUAUAAGAAGAUUUGUAGAUCCAAAUUUAUUAUAAGUAUGCAUAUUAUUUAUAGAUAUGACAAGUCAUAUUUUAAUAAUGUAAAUAAGAUUAGAAAUAAUGUUUCUUUUUUCAUGUAGAAUUGGCUACAUUAUUAUUGCCUUUUGUACUUAAGUAUUCAAAACUUCUAUUUAAAACUAUUAACAAAUUACUCACUCAAACA